UAUUUAUCCCUCUCCUAUUAGCCACAGUAUUUAGUGUUUCCCACACGUCCAAAUCAGGAAACCUCAGCUUUGCUUCAAAGAGUCCACCGUAAACUCCACUCAAGUAUGUUCUAUUUUCAGCUGAGGGUAUUAUCUCCAUCCCUUCAGGUGUCCAUUCAAUCCCAGAACCCUUCGCCAAGGCAAUGGUAAUGGUGUCAUCAAUAUCUAGAGAAGGAAAUCUAUUUUGUGCCUCAAGAACUCCAUCUGUCAUUCCUUCAUACCAUAAUUCCAACGUUAUUGCUUCCUCUUCCUCACUUUCCUUUUGGCCAUUGGUUGGAGCUUCUUUUACAAUCACGGGAUCCUCAGUCACACCUUCAUCAGUUUCUAUGUCCGUAUGGAGAGUAAGUAAGAUGGCACGUGCUUCAAGGACUCCUCCCCUAACUCCAUUCAAGUAUAUUGCACUCAUCACAUCUUCAAACUCCUCUGAUUCCUGGAACCCUUCAACCCCACCAUCGUAUAGCUUCCCUAAUUCUUCACAUCUUCCUUUCAAAACAACACUAACCUUCUCAUACUUUGCCACACGAUCAAGUUUCUCUUGACUCUUCCCAACAAACUUAUCAUAUUGAUUUUUCCCAGAGCUGGCUGUGUUCUGAGCAGCAUUUUCAUUUUCAUUUUCAAGUUGUGCAAAUUUGUCACGCAGAGCUUGGUGUUCCUCCUUCAACUUCCAAAAGAGCUUACUCUUGACCUCCGGUUCCAAAGUACUCUGUUGCUUCAUCAUCAUGAAUAUUUGCAUCAGGGGGUCGUGAGGAGGUGUCCCUGUAGUCCAAUCCAAAUGUGGAAGCCUCAGCUUUGCUUCAUUGGGUGAUCCAAAAGUUUGUCUAAUCCCUUUCCUUUUUGCCACAGUAUUAAUUGUUGGCCACAUGUCCAAAUCAGGAAACCUCAGCUUUGCUUCUAAGAGUCCACUGUAAAUUCCAUUCAUGUAUGUCCUAGUUUCAAUUGAUGUUUGCGCUUCAUCUUCAGGUCUCCAUCUAUUCCUAUAACCCUUCUCCAAAGCAGCUCUUAUGGUUUCCAUAAUAUCAAGAGAAGGAAAUCUAUUCUGUGCCUCAAGAAGUCCAUCCGUCAUUCCUUCAUCAAAUAUCUCUCUCACUAUUUCUUCCAUCUGAUGAUCAUAGCCUUCCUCCUCACUUCCCGUAUGGCCAGAGGUUGAAGCUUCUUCUACAUUAUGCACUGGAUCCUUUAGUCUUACCAACGCUAGUUCACCUAUGAUAAUAACUUUAGGCUUUCCAUCAUCAUUUUUUAGCGCAUCUAGAAUCUGCCUCAGCUUGGAUCUUGGAUCUUCUAAAGCUGACCCUUUUGAUUUUAAUGCAUCCUCAGCAUCCUGGGAUAUUCUCUUUAGUUCUCCCAAUACAAUUUGCAUGGUAUGGUCUUCAAGCGUUCCUUCAACCCCCCGUCUUUCUUUUUUGUCCAGCCAUUCCUUCAACGUCUUCCUAAAUGAUUCGUCCAGACCUAAACUCUCUAUGGUCAUUUUAUAUUCCUCCAUAGGAUCUUUCGUACGAACUAUUGUUAGUGGCAUCUCGUCUGAAUACACGAGAUCGGGAGAAGUGAAUAGGAGAUCAUCCAUUUUGGUUUCGUCUUCAUACACAAAAGCUCCCCAACCACUUAUCACGAAGGAGGAAGUGGCUGUAUACGCAAUCUGCACCAGAUUCCACUCCUUCUUCAUCAGAAGUCGGUCAAGGCCAAGCCACUCCUUGUCACUGAACAAAACUCGUAGAUCAAAGAUCAAGAUGUGUUCUGCUUCAAUUCUGAAUUUGCGAGACCUUUUGCAAGGAACAUAUUGACCGUUGAUAAGUAAACGCAGAUCAACAACGCGGCGACGAGCAAAUUUGUCCCUUUCACUCUCAUCUUGGAAGUGGAAGAUCAUGGCCAGAGCAAUGUUAGGGAACUUCUUACGAACCCAGAAACGAGGAUACCUUUGGACACCCACAUAGUUAAACCAUUCUGGAAUCUCAGUUGUAAAUGGCAUCACCACUUCUAUUCCACGUACCCCUUCCUUCUUCACCUAUCAGAUUAUUAUAACACUUUCAAUUGUAACUUCUAUAUUUAUUUUAGAAAUUUUGUAAAAUAUUAUUUUCCUAAAAUAAUGGUACGAGAUUUAACUUAAGUAAUAAAGUCAUGAUACCUGACGCCAUAGCAUGUCUGAUGUCUCUCUAGUUAAGUCGAAACAAAGUCUUCGUCUACUUUCUGAACAGUUGACGACAACUCUGAAAUUUCUUCAAGGUUGAAACAAUGAUGAACAUCAAGAAUUCUCAAGUUAGUGAAUUCAGGAAUUUUUUUAAGCUUCUUACAUUCAGUCAAAUCGAGACUUGUCAAGUCACCACAUUCCUUGAUGAUGAAGGGAUAAAAAUAAAAUUAUUCUCUGAAGCAAUCAAUUCUUUUAAUUUUGGAAAGUAGCAAAAAAUUGCAAGAAGAUCUUCAUCAGACAAGUUACCAUUUUCGACAUUCAGUGAUCGUAAUUUUGGACGAACAUUGGCUUUUGAAGGGUUUUGCACCAAACUUCUGAAGGAUUCUCGAAGUUUGGAGCAUGCUUCGAUUUUGAGGGAAACAACAUUGGGCAACAUGAAUAAGCUACUUGGUAGAUAUUUAAGUUCCCUGUUAUUUGAUAUGUCUAUACAGACAAGCCCAGUAAGCUUACCAAUGGAUUCUGGAAGCUCUUGAAUAGCAGUAUUUAUCAUAUAAAUCUUCAAUGGCUUUGUCAUUUCUUGCCUUAUCUCUGGGAAGUGACCAAGGCUUUCACAUAAAUUAAGGUCAAAGAAUUCUAAAGACGGUAGAAACAUUUCAGACAUGAAAUUUUUGAGUUUUGUGCAAUCUGAAACACUUAAAUGAGCAAGACUUUUCAGGAAACCAACAGAUCCAUGUACUGCAGUUAGCUCUCUACAAUGAUCAAGUCUCAGUUCUCUUAGAUUCUGAAGUUCAGACACAUCAGGUAUUUCUUUGAUACUUUGGUUAUAUGAAAAGUCCAUAAUAGUCAAGCAUGGAAAUUUCUGCCAAAUGGAAAGUCAAUAAAAAUUAUUAUUUGGAACAACAGUUAUUAACUUACUAAUGUGAAUAAAAUAUGGAAGUUUUUGUUCAAUGAAAAAUUGAAACUUCAAAAAUAGGAAAAUAUGAUAUAGAAUUGUACCUUAAAUGGUUCUUCCAAUGUUAGACGACUUCGAGGCAAAUUGAAAACAACAAUUUUCUUCGGAUGAAAUUUUGGUGGGAAAGACUUUGAAGGAUACUCUUCCCAGUCAAGCAGUCUUAAAUGAUUUGGUAAAUGUUCAAGUUCAGAUGAAAAUGAUGUGUUUCGAACAAUGAGAAUUCUGAGCCUUUUCAUCUUCUCAAACUCAGUUCCACUCCAAUUUACUUCUUCUCGCUGCGGAGGAUUAAGCAUAAUCCCUUGAAUCUUAUCACUUCCCUUUAACACAAGUACAAAGAAACAACAUCAAUUGCAUAUUUUCAGUAAUAUAAAAUACUAUAAUGUAUAAAUCGAAAACAAAGAAAGUAAAAGGGUAGAUGAUUACAUAAUCUUCUGUUAGAAUUUCAGUAACAUCUUCAUAAUACCAUAUUCUGCUACGUUCACCAGGAUUUGUUGAUUCCUGCUUAACAAUCUCUCUUCCCAUAUCUUGUAUUAGAUCAUGCAUCUUCAGGCAGUCAUACUCGAUAGUUAUGAGAGAUUUAUUAAGAAGUACUUUCAUGUUGGAUGUUGAACGAAAUUCCUCAAGUAUCUUUUUCACAUAUUCCGUUCUCUCCCCUUUAAAGAAGCAAGCUAUGUCCAAGAAAAUUUGUUUGGCAUUAUUAUCCAAUCUAUCGUAGCUUAUUUGAAGCACAUCUUGAAUCUUUUUAUUUGGAGUCUUCUCAUAUUCUUCCAUUGCCAUUUCCCAAUCUUCUAAACUUUCAUGAAAAGUAGCUAAAUCAGAGCCUAUGACUUUUAAAGCCAGUGGAAGACCUUUGGUGUAAUCUACAGCACGCACAGACACAUCUUCAAAACCUGUUUUAGGAUAACUUUGUCUGAAGGCAUUCCAACAAAAUAGCUCUAAAGAAUGUUGGUCAUCAAGUUCCUUCUUUUCAUAAAUAUUUCCAACUUGGUGAGCAAUUAGCACAUCUUUUUCCCUUGUCGUUACAAUGAUCCUACUACCUGAACCAAACCAAUUACACCCUCCUGCCAACUUUUCUAACUGAUCUUUAUCACCAACGUCAUCAAGAACCAAAAGAACUUUCUUUUUCUGAAGCUUUUCUUUUAUUUCACGCAUUCCUUUACUUGUGCUUCCCAAUUCAGUUUCCAACCCCUCCAACAUCUCAGAUAAAAGUGUCUUUUGUAGAUCUUCCAUGCCAUUGAUUCUGUUUGAUUUUUCUCUAACAUCGGAAAGAAAACUUGCUGCAUCAAAGUGUUGCACAAUUUUGUCAUACAAAGCUUUGGCAAGUUCCGUUUUUCCAAUUCCACCAAGUCCAUAUAUGCCCAACAUUCUUACAGUUUUAUCAUCAGCCUUCAUUUCCAAUUCAUUUCCAAAAGUGACAUAACUUCUUCUAUGCAGGCGUCAAGUCCAACAGGGUUUUGACCACUAUAUAAAGGUUUAGGAGUUAUAUAUUCCUUGACCUUCCCAACAAUUUCUUCAAUACAAUAGCUUUCAUCAUUCCUAUAAGAGUAGAAUGUAAUAAUUAAUUAUUUGUUUGAUAUCAUGAUUUUUUUUUAUUAUUGUACUAAGUGAUUGUGAUUAUUGUACUAGAUAGUAAGCAAUGAUAAUCAUAGCAAGUAGCACAAAAGAAUAAUGAUUACACAUUAUACAAAAUUUACUGGAGAUGAAAAAGUUAAAGAAAUUUUAUUCUAAACAAAAAAUUCAAUAAUUUAUAAAGAAAAAUACCUAAAUAUAAUAUCAAAUUCUAUUAAAAAAUGGAAUUUUUUCCACUUUGGAUUUUUUAUUAGUAUUUUUAUAUUUUAAAUUAUUUUUUAUAGUGUUCAGAAUUAUACUUUAUGACUAACAAAAUCAAUUAACACCCUGAAAAAAUCUAAAAUUUUAGAUGUAGAAUAUUAUAUAUAAGAAACUACACAUGAUAUAAACAUUACAUCCCAUUAUAAUUAAGAUGUAGAAUAUUAUAUAUAACAAACUACACGUGAUAAAAACAAUACUGCAUACCAUAAAGUAUAUUACUUGAAUCAUAUUUGUUUGUGAAAAGUAAAGUUCUACAUAAGAUCAACUUACUUUGGGUGUUUAACCUUUUAUAAAAGGCUAUAAUUAUUUUUUAACUAAAUUAUUUUUUUUUGGAUGACAGAAAAAUUAAGAGAGAAAAAGUAUUUUUUCUUUUAAAUUUCCCUUACCAAUUGUAUUUUUUUUUUUUUAUAUCUAAGAAAAGUAAAGUCUUAUGAUAGUCAUGUUAGUAAUGACUUCCAACAAAGUUCGAAUAUGAGAAAUGAAGGCAUUGAUAUUAAGGACUUACUACUAAAAAAAUUAUGAAAUAGAAAUCAAUUUUAAAGACAAAAAAUAAUUAGUUGUUUUAGUGAUUAAAUUAGAAGAUAAUUUUAGAAACUAACAAAUUUUUUGGUUUCUAAAUUAGUUUUUAUUGUUGGUAAAUAAUUUUUAAAUUGGUAUUUAAUUAGCUACCAAAGUUUUAACUAUCAAUUAUUUAGAUUCUAAAUUUGGUAGAAAAAUCUUAGUAGCUAUUAUUAGAUACCAAUUUAGAAACCAAUUAACAAUAAUAGAAACUAAUUUAAAAAUCAAUUUUUUUUAGUUUCUAAAAUGGUCUCUAAUUUAGUCACUGUAACAAUUAAUUAUUUUUUUUCUCUAAAAUUGAUUUCUAUUUCAUGAUUUUCUUAUAGUGUCGGCAUCAAUAAACAAGAUUUUAGAAAUACAAAAUCUAAGGAGGUAUUGAAGGAACCCAAGAGAACAACAUGGUACUCAUUGAGAAAAUAUUGUUAGAGUUUACAGUGUUCAAUAAACGCAAUUGAUGGUGGAAGUGAGAAACAACCAAGGGACAAAAAGAUAAUCGAGACUCUUUACUACGCUCUGUGUGAAAGAACCCACUACAACAACGUUAAUUGAAGUUAACAACUCAUACCAUUAGCAACUUUGCAUCUGACUCUGCUAUUAAUAAUAGCAAUAGACUUUUUUGUUACGAAAUGGAAGUGUAGAGGAUAUUAGGUUAUGUGAAUUGGAUUAGGAAAUCAGAAUUAAAUUUACAGUGUAGGAUGAAAAUAUUUUAAAGAUGAUUGAGACAAUGAAGGAAAAAGAUUGCGAGAUGAAAAUAUUAAAGGGGGAGAAGAUAGAAUCCAAUUAAUGAAGAUAAUAUGUUUAAACAUUGUAGAGGAAUUGAUUAAUAAGGAGGAGGUUGUGGCAGUAUCUUACAAGAAAUCAAAUUAGAAAUAGUCAAUAAAGAAAGAUGCUACAAUAUAAUAAACAAUGAUAUAGAAUGGGAACAUUUUGUAGUUGUAAAUGGGGUACAGGAAAUUUUAACUAUGUGGCAUAAGGAUACUUUCAUAUGUGAAACUUUGGUUAUAAAUACAAGUUUUUUUAGGGGUUAAAGGAAGCUAGAAAAAGAAUAAUAGGUCAAUAGUAAUAGUGAAUGUGUACUCCCCUUGUAACUAUAGUGAUAAGCUAGUAAUUUUGGAUGAAAUAGUAAGAUUAAGAUAGGAAGAAGAAUGCAACAUCUAGUGUGUAUGGGAGAAUUUUGACGUAAUAAGAAAUUUAGAUGAAAGAAGAGGUAUAAAUCAAGAUGGUUAGAGGGAUACAAUAGAAAUUAAUGAAUUUAUAUAAAAUACUGAAAUCAUGGAUAUUCCUCCACUAGGUAGAAAAUUUACUUCGUAUUCAAAUGGAACUGCAAAAAUAGGUUUCAAAAAAUUUUAUUCUCACAAGAAUGAUCGGAACAAUGGUCUCGAAGAAAACAAUACAUUGUGUUAAAUUCCAUACAAAUAACACUACAAGAAAAUCAAGAAAUAAAAACUAAUUUUUAAUGACAAAAUAAUUUAGAUACCAAUUUAAUCUAACAUGUUUAAUCUUUUUCUAGAAGGUGAAGAUGCUACCCUCAAUACAACAUUUUGCAUGAAAGGUAAUAAAGAUUAAAUCAUGUAGCAACAAAAGAAAACUGGAGGAGUAAGGGAGUAAUGAUAGAUAAUGUUUUUUUGCCCUAUGUGCAUAUUAACGGAGCAACUCGUUAACCAUUUUUUCUUUAGAUGCAACAUUGUAGGUUGUGUGAAAUACGUGCAACAAGUAGGUUGGAGUAAGUACUCCUAUUAAAAAAUCAUGUAAAAUUGAACUUCCAACAAUUCUACUUGUCAGAAAUGAUGACAAAGGAAAUAGGAUAUGGAUGUGUCUGUGGGUAGAGAUCAUUUGAAAUAUAUAGAAUCAUAGGAAUAGAAUUAUCUUUAAGAAUGGAACCGUAUAUGCGUAAGAGAUAUUGUUUUUGACACAGACAAAAUAUGAGCUUGAAUAAGGAAUAAAUCUCUGAAAUUGACUUUCGCAUAUUCUUAUUGGUGUAUAUAUGCCCAACAACUUGCAUAAAACCCCUAUCUAAGUAAUAUGGUAUACUCACCCCAAUGGAGAUAUGUAAUUGUUAUCAAUUAUAAGUUAUUUUCAAUAUUGACUACUAUACAAAGACCUUGAACUGUGCUUAGAUGGGUAUUCCGUUUACCUACUUGGGCCUAGAAGUGGGAGGAAAUCCAAGGAAGAAAAACUUCUGAGAGCCUAUUUUGAACAAGCUGAACUCGAGGCUCAAUGUGUGGAAAGGGAGAUUCUUAUCUAAGGCAUGAAGAAUUUGUUUAAUAAAAUUUGUUAUCACGGCCAAUCCACUUUACUACCUGUCUUUGUUUAGAGCUCCGGAGUCGGUAUGCAAAUGCAUCAUCAGUAUCCAAAGGAGGUUUCUGUGGGGUUGGGGAAAGGAGAAGAGACCGAUCUCAUGGGUUAGUUGGAAAAUCUUAUGUAAACCGAGAGAGGAAGGAGGGCUGGGCCUCAGAGACAUUUGAAAGUUUAAUAAUGCGCUAUUGGCUAAGUGGAGAUGGCGGUGUAUCUCUAAUGAGAAAGGAAGGUGGAAGGAGUGCUUGGACUCAAAGUAUGGCAUGAAACUCGAUACCUCUCAAACAUCAGUGAAACUACAAUCCUAUUGGUGGAGAGAUUUAUUGAAGGUUUGUAAGGAGGGAAGAGGAGAUGAAUGGUUUCAAGAAGAAGUCGGAUGGAAGCUAGGGAGUGGAGACAAAGCAAGAUUCUGGGAGGGUGUGUGGGUUGGAAACUCUACUAUCAAAACUUUAUUCCCCAGAUUGUACUCACUGUCGUUGAACAAAGGUCAAAAGAUGGAAGAGGUAGGUGUGUGAGAAGAAUCGGCGUGGCGGUAGACCUUAAGGUGGAGGCGUGGUAGAUUUGAGUGGGAAACCCCGAUCGAAAUAGAGCUUGGUAUGCACAUCUCCAAGGUCAAUGUAUUCAAGGAAGAGAAGGAUGCCUAGGUGUGGAGAGGUGAUGAAUCUGGGUGCUUUACGGUGAGUUCUUCUUAUGGAUGCCUAGCAAAGUCUGAAAGGGCCCCCCAAAUUGAUGCGUUCAAGUAUCUAUGGAAGAUUAAGGCGUUCCUAAAUGUGACGAUCUCUGCCUAGAGGGUACUGCUGGGUAGAAUGCCAACAAUAGAGUGUUUGCGUAGGAGAGGGGUGAUGUUGAACACUACAGAUUGCGCCUUAUGUCAGACCACAGAAGAGUCCUGUCAACACCUCUUCCUAGAAUGUAAACAUGCCUUGUGUGUUUGGUCUUUGUGCUUUAAAUGGAUUGGAAUCUUAUUUGUCCUACAUAAAGAUCUUAUAACUCACUUUGAGAGCUUCCACUUGACUCAGAGUAGUAAUAAACAAAACUUGGUUUGAAAAGGGGUAUGGGCAGCUAUAGUCCGGUGUAUGUGGGAGCAUAGAAACUCAGUUGUGUUUAACCAAGGAGUUGCAAAUGCAGAAAAAGUGUUCCAAAAGGCCUAACUUAAAUCGUGGUUAUGGAUGAAGCAUAAGGCACAUAAUUUUAACUACUUUUUGCAUAUUAGGUUUUGAAUCCAAUGUCCUGCAUUAGUAGCUAUAAGUAAGUGGCUUUAGGUGGAGCCAAGAUGCCCUGGAGGAGGAGGGAGGGCAGUGUUGCUUUUCCUUGGAGGAGGUAGGAAGCAAGAAGUGGUCUGGUUCUGAAAGAGGUGGGUGGAGUAGCGGAUUCGUUGCAGAAUCUGUAAGCAGGGGCAGUUCACUUGAUGUAGGUUUUUGGACACACAAAGCUGUCUUGGAUGUAGUAGUCCAUAAGCUUUUGGUGUAAAAGAUAACUGCAAUAUGCAUAGUUUUUGUGGCUUCAUUUUGGAUACUGGAUGGUGGAUUGUAGGUUAUUGAUAUUCAAGAUUAAUAACCUUGGUCUACGAGUUAUGCCUAAACAGUUGUAGGGGAAUUUAUCAACUUCUAUGUAGGAAAACCAGUUUGUGGGUGUUGUCUGUGCUGUUGUAGGUCUGACAAGAUAGCUGAGUUGUCUAAGGAACUGAGGAAAAAGAGGUGUAGGCAGUGCAGGUGUUUUGGUGCCCAUGUGAAGGAAAAUGAAGAUAUACUCUCUUAAAUAUUUUCAUGGAGCUUGCAGCAACCAUAGAAGGGCUGAUGGAGUUUUUUAUGGAAUGUCUAAUUCAAUGGUUGAGGUAGCAGGAAAAGUCUAACGUUUACCACUUUAACAAGGGUCAUCAGCGGCAACGCAGACCUUUGUUGUUGGUGCAUUAGUUGGCUACUAACACCUUAUUCAAGGGGGUUUAUAUGACCAGUGAAACAAGCUCCAAGGAGGUCUCUUUUUGUGGUUGUUGUUACUGUCUGAAGAGGUUUUUUUUUCUUUUUUUCUGGUUUUUUACACGAAGAGGCAGGGUAGAUUCAAACCACAUGGUUUUUGGAAGUAAAACCCAUGGUAAUAUGAUGUUUGGAGCGGCUGUCUGUAGUGAUGGUUUUAAAGAUGGUCUUUAAACCUGAAGUGGCUGGUUUACCUUGUAUGGAGCCUCACUUCUCACAUCUCAUGUGCUGCUAGUACUGGUUUGCUGGUUUGUGUUGGAGCUGUUGGCUGGGUGCAAGUGAAUUUCACUGGUUUACAAUAAGGGGCCAUCAAAUGUAGGAGGAUUCAUCUAUACUCUUGAAUUGUAGCUUGGCCUUAAAAGCUUUAUUCAAGGGGUAUUUUUUUGUCAAAUUUGUGCGUUAGAUGCAAGGCAGAUUUCAAUCAAAUGCAGUGGAUUGUUGGCCUGUACAUGGAGCCCCGAAUGAUGCACCUGUUGUGAUGCCAAAACUGGGUUGGGAAAGGGUUGCUAGUUGGUGCUCCAAGCAUGAGGCAAUCAAGUGCAGCAAGUUCUUUUCUCCUAUGUUUGGAUGCAUUGUUGGUGUGAUGUGGACCUCAAACAUGGAGCUGCUGGUUCUCUUUUUGAUGAUCUGUUUGGGUCUGGUGUGGACCUCUAAUGGGCUGGGGGAUUUGUGGGUUACUACUACAGUAAGUAUGCUUUGGUAGCAAACUGCUGUUGUUUUUUGUUUCCGUUUUGUAUACCGGUUGAGCCACCCUUGAAGUGGUCACCUUUAUUUCAAUUAAUUCUUUGCCGAUAAAAAAAAAUUAUAAGUUAUUUUCAAGUUUGAAUCGUAUAAAUAAAGUAGUAAGGGUUGAGAUUUCUCGAGUACCAUAUAUAUCAAUGAUGUAAAACCUUAUGUACGUCAUAUGUAAAAAAAACUAGGCAUUAAAUAAGGAGUGACAACGAUUAAUAUAAGUUUAUGGUAGAUCUUGGUGGAAUCUCACGCACUGUAUUAUGUUUUAAAGGAUCAAAAUACUUAAAAUACAUAUGAUAUUUAUUAAAUGGUAUCUAUUAAUGACUAUGUGUGCAUUCAUUACACGAAAAAUUCAAUUAUUAUUUAUAAAUAUUAUUUUAUUCCAAUUUUUAUGAUUAUUAUUAACAAUUAUAAUUAAAGUUAAAACUAAACUGUAGCAGGUGGAACACGAUGCCAAGUUCCUUAAGGAAUGUUCAAAGAAACUUUAACAUUACACCGUUAAAGUUUUGUUGUCACAUUAUGAUUAUUAAUAUACUUAUUAGUAAGAUUAUCAAUAUUAAUAUAAUUAAUAAUAUAAAAAUUAUUAACAUGAUUAAAUAUUAUUAAAAAUUAUUAAUAUUAUUAAUAUUAUUAAUAUUAUUAUAUUAUUAAUAUUAUUAAAUACUUAUAUUAUUAAUUUUAUUAUUACUAAUAUUAUUAAUUUUAUUAUAUUAUUAAUAUUAUUAAAUACUUAUAUUAUUAAUUUUAUUAUUACUAAUAUUAUUAAUUUUAUUAUAUUAUUAAUAUCAUUAAUAUUACUAAUUUUUUAUUAUUAUUAAUAUUAUUCAUAUAUUAUUAUAUUAAUAUUAUUAAUUUUAUAAUAUUAAUAAUAUGUUAUAUUUAUUAGUUAUGAUUAUUAUUAUUAUUUAUGAUUUUAUAAUUAAUUAUAUAAUAAUAAUAUUUUUAAUAUUAUGUAUAUAGUUAUUAUGAUAAUAGUUGGUAGAUAAUAGAGAUCCGUGUGUAAAAGUUCGUAGGUAAUAAGAUCCGUGGAUAAAAGUUUGUAGGUAAUAAGAUUCAUGGGUAAAAGUUUGUAGAUAAGAAGAUCUGUGGAUAAUAGUUAGUAGGUAAUGCUGAAUUUAUCUACAGAUUCAGAUCUGUAGAUAAUAUUAGUAGGUAAUGUUGUUCGUAGAUAAUAUCCAUAAAUAAUACUGAAUUUAGUUACGAAUUAAAAUUCGUAAAUAAAAUUCAUAAAUAAUACUAUUUUUUUUAUAGUAAUUCAUACAGGAAUAACAAUAUAAUGUUAUAAUUUUGUCUAGUACAAAAAUUGAAAACAUGCCAACUAUCCAAACGUUCGAUACUAUUAUUUUCUAUUUAGAUUUAUAAACAAAUAUUAUAAUUUCAUUUCUGUCAGUAAAAGUAACAUUAUUAAUUUUUAUUUUAUUUUAGUUGUGAAUUAUUAUUCCAUAAAAUACAUGAUUUUUUUCGAGAUUUGGGAUGAAAAAGAAAUAAGAUUUAAUGCUUUGUUAUCGUAAUUACAUACAUACCCGUCUUUAAUAUGCUUCCCUGGGAAGUCACCUGCUUGAGACAAUGCUGAUCUCCAAGCCUGCAUUCUCUGUGAUUCUUUUCCAAUCUUAUUUUCUUGUGCCUUCAUGUGUUUUCCGAAGCUAUUUCUCUCGUGCCGUAUAUCUGAGGGAUUUACAUGGUAAAACACUGGGUAAACAAGCUGCUUCUUCUCCUUCAUCUUGCUGCGUUCUAUGAUCCUAACAAGUUCAUCCAGACACCAUGUGGAAGAUGCAUAGUUCUCAGAAAACACAACGAUCAAAAUCCUAGAUUCUUCAAUGGCCUUCGACAGAGCAGGUGAAAGACUUUCCCCUAUCCUCAUGUUCUUAUCAUCCCUGAAAUCUUUUAUUCCCUUCCUACCUAACUCUCUACGCAGAUGCCCAAUAAAAUUGUACCUUAUAUCUUCCCCUCUAAAACUGAUGAACACAUCAUAUGUGAAACCAAGACACUCUUCUUCCUCACCAUGUUUUCCCAUGUUACAAACAAGCCAAAACUACUCUAAGGAUGAUCAACUACUUUGAUCAAUUUAGUGUGUUGUGAUUAAAUACAGUGUCUUACGCGGAUACACGCUUUCCUGUAAUUAUUACAAGAUGUCCCGACCAAGAUAUACUAAUGGGAAGAUAAAUAAUUUACGUGGUGCAUAUUUAAUGUGUUUUAAAUUGCACAGGACUAGUAUCUUGACCCGUGACCCGUGUAAUGCACGGAAAUUUUUUUAAAAUAUAAUAUUUACAUGUAUUACAUUAAAUUUGUUUUUCUCCCGUAUAUUAAAAUUAAAUGAAUUGGUAGAAUGUAUGAUAAUUAUAAAUCAAAAUUACAUCAAUUAUUAAUAAAUAAUACACUACAAGAAAAUCAUGAAAUAGAAACCAAUUUUAGAAACAAAAAUAAUUAGUUGUUAUAGUGACUAAAUUAAAAACUAUUUUAGGGACUAAAUAAAUUUUUGGUUUCUAAAUUAAUUUUUAUUAUUGUUAAAUAGUUUCUAAAUUGGUAUCUAAUUAGCAACCAAAGUUUUUGCUACCAAAUUUAGAAUCUAAAUAAUUGAUAGUUAAAACUUUGGUUGCUAAUUAGAUACCAAUUUAGAAACUAUUUAACAAUAAUAGAAACUAAUUUAGAAACUAACUUUUUUUUUAGUUUCUAAAAUGGUCUCUAAUUUAGUUAUUAUUACAACUAAUUAUUUUGGUUUCUAAAAAAUGGUUUCUAUUUGAUGAUUUUCUUGUAGUAAUAUAAAAAUAGAUAAAAUUGACGAAAAAUAAAAGUAAUAUGACCAAAAUUAUUGAUCAAUUUAGGAUAAUGAUAGAGUCUCUCCUUUAAAUAUCAGAUUUUCAUGAAGAUUUGUAAUGUUACAAAAAUAAUUAAAUAAGACUUAUUAAAUACAAAAUCAACUCAUUGUCAAUUAUUUUGGAAGUGUUUUUCUCAAUCAAAAUUAUAUCAUAGACGAUGUUUUGUAUAUUCCUUGCUUCAAUUUUAAUCUUCUUUCAGUAACAAAAUUGAUUGAUAAAUUAUCUUGUGUUCUUACUUUUGACUCUAAUGGUUGUCACAUUCAAGACAAAAACUCCUUGAAAAUGAUUGGCUCUGCUAAGAUGCAAGAUAGACUUUAUAUACUCAGGAUCCCAUCUUGCUAGAAACUUAAAAUCAAACCCAUCGAAUCUACACACACCAUCAAUAUUGUUAAUGUCAGUGCUAGUGAUCUAGAAACCCUUUGGCAUUUUCGAUUAGGUCAUAUUUAAAAUAAAUGUAUUGAUGUUAUCAAGAAUAAAUUUCCUUUCGUUAAAUAUAACAAAUAUUUUGUUUGUGAUGUUUGUCAUUUUGCAAAGCAAAAAAGGCUUUCAUUUCCUAUUAGUACAUCUAAAUCAAAAAAAUGAUUUGAUUUGAUUCAUGUAGAUAUUUGGGGACCAUACUCAAUACCAUCAAUUCAUGGUCAUAAAUAUUUCUUGAUCAUAGUUGAUGACUAUUCGAGGUACACAUGGAUUUUUCUUUUAAAACGCAAAUCUGAAGUUGUUAAGGCUUUGGAAAAUUUUGUUGUUUUUGUUCAAACACAAUUUGAGACAGCGAUAAAAAUAAUAAGAAGUGAUAAUGAGACUGAAUUUUUCAUGACUAUUUUUUUUUGUCAAUAAAGGAAUAGUACAUCAAACAUCAUGUGUCAAUACUCCACAACAAAAUAGUAUAGUUGAAAGGAAACAUGGUCAUUUAUUAGAUGUAACAAGAGCUCUUAUGAUACAAUCUCAUUUACCCAAAAUUUAUUGGUCAUAUUCUGUGAUACAUGCUAUGCAUAUUAUAAACAUGCUUCCCACACUUGUUUUAAACUAUUCUUCUCCUGAUGAAAUGCUUUACAAAACUGAUGCAAAUUUUAAUGGAUUAAAGGUGUUUGGUUCUUUAUGUUAUGCUAGCACUUUGUCAACAAAUAGAAGAAAAUUCGAUCAAAGGGCAUCAAAAUGUGUUUUUAUUGGUUUUAAAAAAGGGACAAAAGGAUAUAUUUUAUUGAAUAUUCAAUCAAGAUAAAUUUUUGUUUAUAGGGACGUUGUCUUUUAUGAACAUGUUNNNNNNNNNNNNNNNNNNNNNNNNNNNNNNNNNNNNNNNNNNNNNNNNNNNNNNNNNNNNNNNNNNNNNNNNNNNNNNNNNNNNNNNNNNNNNNNNNNNNNNNNNNNNNNNNNNNNNNNNNNNNNNNNNNNNNNNNNNNAGUCACACAUUGAGGUUCCAGAAGAAGUUUGUUCCCAUAUAGACCAAAACCUCAAUGAAGAUCAUGACAUAGAACAAAAUUCUGAAUCAGAUCAAUCUGUCCAAAUGAGUACAAGAAUAUAAAGACCACCUGAGUAUUUAAAGGAUUAUCAUUGUAAUCUUAAUGUUUCCAAUACAUCUUCAAGAGUUAAAUAUCAUUUGAAUUAUGUUUUGUCUUAUAAAAAUUUAUCACCUUCUUACAAAUCUUUUGUUAUGUCUCUUUCUUCACAUGUUGAGGCAAAUACUUAUUUUGAAGCUGUGAAACAUGACUGCUGGAGAAAAGCUAUACAAUGUGAGAUAUUUGCUUUAGAGUCAAAUCAAACUUGGGAGACUCUUGUUCUGCCUAAGGACAAAGCUACCAUAGGUUCCAAAUGGGUAUUCAAAAUAAAAUAUAAGGUUGAUGCAGACAAUUGAAAGGUAUAAAAUAUUUGCUUAUACUGGAAGUGUUCCUUUCAUAGAUAUUCAAGCCUACAGAAGAUUGAUUGGAAGGCUUAUGUAUCUCACUAAUACCCGACCUGACAUAACAUUUUCUGUGCAACAACUUUCUCAGUUUCUUGCUAAGCCUACAAUUGCUCACUAUACUGCAGCGAUUAGAAUUCUCAGAUAUAUUAAAGAAGCUCCAAGUCUUGGUUUAUUUUUCUCUUCCAACACUUAUGCUCAUCUCAAAGCCUUUUGUGAUAGUGAUUGGGGCACCUGCAGUGAUUCAAGACAAUCAAUGACUGGUUUUAGUGUGUAUCUUGGUAAUUCUCUCAUAUCCUGGAAAUCAAAGAAGCAAAACACGAUAUCAAGGAGUUCUUGUGAAGCUGAAUACAGGGCAAUGGUCACUGUUACAUGUGAAAUUCAAUGGCUAACUUAUCUUCUUCAAGAUUUCAAAGUUCCUUUUGAGCAACCAUCUCUUUUAUACUGUGACAAUGACUCGGCAAGAUACAUUGCAACAAAUCUAGUGUUUCACGACCGUAAAAAACAUGUUCAUACCAACCAAAUUAUAAAGGAGAAGAAACUUGUUAUUACAAAAAAAAAAUGAUUAUAAAUUGUUAAAUUCAUCUUCAUAUAUUAGAACAAAGAGAAGAAGUAAGAAUAGUUUUGAAUUACAAAAUUUUCAUACCACAUAUGUAUGACUGUAAGAUAUUUUCAUCUUCACAUAUUAGUGAUCAGUACGCUUGCCCCCAGACUCGAGGAAUGUUUACUUUAUAAGAGUCUAAAUGUGACUGUUGGGUGCUUCGAUGUAUGAAGUGACUUCUUGUCCUUCUUUGAAGGCUGACUGAACGACUUUAUUGCUUUUGAUCUUUUCAGUAGUUGUUUGAAUGCCUUUAUGGACACUUGUAUAGUUUUAAACAAUGUAUGUUGAAUGAUCGUUAGGACUAAGAUCCUUUGGACGUCGCUCAGGCUUUUGAAUUGCUUUACAAUUUUGAAUGCCAAGUGCAUGCUGGAAUCAAUACAACUUAAAUAAGCCGAUUCUUUAAUAGAUUGAAUGCUGACCUGAUACUUGAAUCAAAAUAAUUUAAAUAUGUGGAGCCUUUAACAGAUUGAAUGCUGACUUGAUACUGAAUCAAUAUGAUUUAAAUAAGUUGUUUUGAGCUUCAGAUAGGUUGAACACCGAUCGAAUGUUGAAGAUUGUUAUUUUAAUACAAUUUCCUUAAUCGAAACAAACUUUAUUUUAACCGUUCGGGAGGGAUUGCCUCAUGGGGGCAAAGCUUCCUUAGCCGAACGAUAUUGAUUAAGGAUAUCGGUAAGGAUUGUCGUUUUAAGGCAAAACUUCCUUAACUGUAUAAGAGCAUUGCACGUUGGUUCGGGAAGGGCUGCUAUUUAUUAAGCAAGUUGCCUUGGUCGAAGAGUUUGUUUGAAAAUGGCUGCUAAUUGUUAAGCAAGCUGCUUUGGCCGAAGAGUUGCAUGCAGUGUCGCGUUCGUUCGACAAGGACUGCUAAUUGUUAAGCAAGUUGCCUUGACCAAAUGAUGUUUGGAAUUUUGUCAUAAUUGAAAACUUUUUAGAUGUGUGGAAGUUACAAUGAGAUGAGGAAGUCUUCACUUGUUGUCCAUACUCCAACGAUCAUGUGUAAGAGCAUAAAAUAUAUCAGUGCUGUAUGUAUUGCAUAAAAUAAUACUUAUCUUAUUCUUGGGGGUCAUCCUUUAAUUAUAGAGUUUUGGCUGAUCUCCUAUCAUUAGUCUUUUUUCAACAAAAUAAUAUCACAACAUAUUUAAAUAUUAACAAUCACAUCUGUUAUCUUCAUAAUACUAUGAUAACAUAUUUAAAUAAUAGCAAUCAUAUAUGUUAUCUUCAAAAUAAUAUGAUAACAAAUUUAAAUAAUAACAAUCAUAUCUUUUAUGUUUAGAAUAAUAUCACAAAAGAUUUAAAUAAUAACAAUAAUAUCUUUUAUGUUUAAAAUAAUCACAAAAUAUUUAAAUAAUAAUAAUCAUAUCUUUUAUGUUUGGAAUAAUAUCACAAAAUAUUGAAAUAAUAACAAUCAUAUCUUUUAUCUUCAUAAUAAUAUCACAACAUAUUUAAUGAUAAAAAUAAUUUUUCCGAUUACCUCACAUCGGGUUUAUAUUCGAUUAAGAUCAUAUCGGUCAAUGUUCAAACCUUUCCAAUUAGGAGGAAUUUGUGCUUCCAUGAUUUGAUCAGUAAAGGAAUGUCCUUUAAGUUUCUCUUCCAAAAUAAUAUUGUGUUUCGAUUGGUGAAGCCUGGAUGAUUGAUGAGUCUGAGUUUAAAGGAUGGUCGUCUUCUAUUGAUUACGUGUGUCCUCAGAUUUGUUUGGGGAGGCGGGUCUUCUAGCUUCAGGAUAUGGCUUUUGGCCCUUGGUUCAGGUAUGAUCCCGACCAGUUGUUGUUGGUUCAUUUGAUCAUUCUAUUCUCAGAGGAUUCAUAUCUCCUUCUCGUUCUUCUGGCGCAUGAUUCGCAUCUCCUCCUUGUUCUUUUGGACCAUCUUCGCCAUCUCUUUAUAAGGUCUGGAACAUAGCCAUUUUCUUGGCCUCCAUCAUUUUCUCGCCUUCCAUCUGCCUUGUUAAUACCAUUUGCUACUCUUCAAUACUAUUUUGGCUCCACGAUGGGCGCCAAUUGUACUUGUAUAGACUGGUAGGGCCUAGAUAGUACAUGGAUUUGGAUGUAAUAAUUGUCUUUGAUCUCUCGAUCGCUCCUCCUUCAUCCUUCUCGUACUCGCUCCUUCGUGCCUGGUCGGGAGUUAACUUGCAAAAGGUUCUCCAACAAUCAAAUAAGUACUCUAUGUUAAGAGUGUAUAAUGAAACUGAUAAAAAAGUACCUUACUCCUCUAUAAAGGGUUUAUUUAUAGUAUUUGGUUAUGGACCCUCUUUUACGAUAAGCCAAAUCUAUUAAAUAUUAGUGAUAAUUUAUUUAUAGGGAGGUUCCCUGAUUUCUCGAGAUGUUACUCGGAUUUGGUGGGAUGUGCCCCUGAUUCUCAGGGAGUCUCUGUAACUGCCUUAAAUGCUAUUUAUUAUAACUACUUUAAAUAUAUUCUAACCCUACUUAAAUGCUUCGCCUGCACUCUCCAUUUAUGAGCUGCCUGUUGUAUCUUUGCUCUGCCUUUUAGCUCUUUUAUGGUAUCCAACUGAAAACCCCACCCCUUUUUCGAUGCUUCCUGUGAGAAAUCCUCCACUCGCUUAGACGGGAUUUCCUGUGAAUAACUUUACUAUCAUCUUCCUACUCUUUUUGAACAAAUUUUAAAAAUAUGAUUGGACAUGUAAUUUUAUGUUCUAACAUUAUGUUAAUAUCAUGCUACUAUGUACUAACAUUACGCUAUGUUUUUAGAUCAUUACUUUCCUUCAUUAUUUUGCUUAACAUAUCGCUAUGGAAUGUAUACAAAUAUUAGUCCCACCACUAUGCACAACACUUGAUAAUCAUCGACAUGCCAACAUAAAGUUAUGUUUAUAUACAUAUUCAUAAAAAUGAUGUUUCCUUCAUGGUUUUUUUCUUCAAGUGGAUCGAGAUCAUGCUCGACACCAUGGAGGGUUAAGACCUUUUCAUGGUUUUCUUUCAAGUGGUCUGAGAUCAUGCUCGAUACCAUAAAGGGUUAAGACCCUUUCAUGAUUUUUUCUUCAAAUGGACCGAGAUUAUGCUUGGCACCAUGGAGGGUUAAGACUCCUUCAUGGUUUUUUCCUCAAGUGGACCGAGAUCAUGCUCGACACCUGAGAUCAUGCUCGGUACCAUAGAGGGUUAAAACCCUUUCAUGUUUUUUUUCUUCAAAUGUAAAAGCAUAACACUUUUAUCGAUCCCUUACACAUUGUACUCCUAACAAUCCUGAACAAUCAUAUCUAUAAACCCCUGAAAUAAUUCGAGUCGUAUAUAAACAUAAAGCAAAAUAAUAAAUUGUUUAACAAUACACUAAAUCCACACUAAAUCCAAACCAUAUUAACUAUAAUAAAAACGCAGAUUCGCCACAUUUCAAGUUUGCGGAAUAACUCCACCAUCCAAUGUCUCCAAAUGGUAUGCUGCCCUACCGACCACCUCACAGAUUCGGUAAGGCCCGAUCCAAUGAGGUGCCAACUUGUUGUCCUUGUUUAUUUCCCCUGCCUUUCUUAGUACCAAAUCCUUCUCUUUAAACUCUCUUGGAAACACCCUACUUAAAUGCUUCGCCUCCACUCUCCUUUUCUGAGCCGCCUGUUGUAUCUUUGCCCUGCCUUUCAACUCUUUUAUGGUAUCCAACUGAAAACCCCGCCCUUUUUUCUAUGCUUCCUGUGAGAAAUCCUCCACCUGCUUAGACGAGAUUUCCAACUCGAUGGGUAACACCACGUCACUGCCAUAAACCAAACUGAAAGACAUUUCUUUCGUAGUUGAUUGCUUCGUUGUGUGGUAUGACUAUAUUACCGCGGAAGAAGCUCGAUCCACCUUUAGCCGCUCCUAACUUCUUCUUCAAACCCUACAAUAUUAUUUUAUUUGUUGCUUCUAGUUGCCCAUUUAUUUGAGGGUGCUAUACUGAUGAAAAUAUUUUUCGAGUUCCCAACUCUUCACACAUGUGCCUCACUUUCCCUACUCGCAAAUUGCGCUCUGUCCGACACCAAUUCCCUUGGCACACCGAAUCUACAUACAAUAGACUUUCAAAUAAACUUAGAUAUUUUUUCUGUCGUGAUGGUCGUUAGUGGCUCAGCCUCGACCCAUUUUGUAAAAUACUCAAUUACAACCACAAUGAAUUUAAAUUGCCUUACUGACAUAGGAAAAUGUCCUAAUAUAUCAAUUUCCCACUUCUGGAAGGGGCAUGAAGAAAUUAUGGAAUACAAAUGCUUAGCUGAUACGCCAAUAUUAUUUGAAUGCCUUUGGCACCUAUCACAUUUUUUGACAUACCCAAGACAAUCCUCCCUUAGCGUAGGCCAAUAAAACCCCGCCCUAAUUAUUUUUAAUGCCAAUGAUUGUCCGUCAGUGUGACUCUCACAAACACCCUCCUGCACCUCCUCCAUGAUCCUAUUUUGUUGUAGCUCCCCAACGCAUCGUAAUAACGGUAUUGGGAAGCCUUUUCUGUACAACACCCCAUUAACGAUGACAUACCGUGUUGCAUUUUUCUUAAUAACUUAUAUUCCUCUGAAUCCAAUUGUUCCUCCCCUUCCUUCAACCACUCUUCAUAAACAUCCAUCCAACUUUGCUUACCUCUUAUUUCCAAUACCUCCACCGUCACACUUGGUGAUUCAAGGUUCUCAUGAAUGACCGACCAAUGAUUUCCCGACCUCUUGGUACUUGCCAAUUUCGACAAAAAAUCUGCUUGAGCAUUCUGGUCUCGAGAAACAUACAUCAACCCAAACUCUUCAAACAAGACCACCAUGGAACGCACCUUGGCCAAAUAUUUGACCAAAUGCGAAUCCUUAGCUUGGAAAUUUCCUACUACUUGCACGGUUACCACUUGAGAGUCACUCCUUACUAUCAUUCUUCUAACUUCCAUAUUUGUUGCUAAGUGCAUCCCUACGAUUAAAGCCUUGUAUUCGGCCUGGUUGUUGCUUACUUUAAAUGAAAAUUUUAAUGACUGUCCAACCAACACACUGUCCGACCCUUCCAAUAUCCAAUCAGCUGGUCCUAGGGUCAACAAUCAAACAAUGACACAUAAAAUUUGGAUCCACCCCUGGCAUAUCGUGCAAUGAUCAUGCAAAAACACUCAAAUUAUCUCCCAAAUACUCUACCAACCUCCUUUCUUCUUUUUCCUCCAACUUGCUACCUAUCUUUAAACUUCUCCCCCCAUCCGACUUUAUGACCUUAAUGUCUUCCAUCGGUUGUGGCUGUUCAUCCUUAUAAUCAACCCUUGGAUCUCACUCUACCCCCUCCAAAUUCCUAUCCUCCCGUUCUACCUGCAUACAUCUCCUUCUAUUUUUAGACUUCCUUUGUAACACUUUCUUGCUGCCCUCUGAUAUACUAUUAACACCCCAAUUGUCCCCUCAUCCAUAGGAUACUUCACAUUCAUAUGGAUCGAUGAUACUAUUGCUCCUAACUUAUUUAUUAUCGGUCUUCCCAACAGUUCAUUAUAAGAAGAAGUGGUGUUUACAAUCAUGUACCUUAUUAUAAUUGAUUUGGCCUUCUCUCCUUCCCCAAACAUCGUCUUGGCCUCAAGAUACCCCCGAACUUGCACCGGGUCGCCCGAAAAUCCAACCAAAACUCUGUCAUAUGGUUCCAAAUCGUCCAACGAUCCUCCCAUAGUGAUAAAAUCAUCCUAAAACAAAAUAUCUGUUGAACUCCCUUGAUCCACUAGCACCCUAUGAAUUUUUCGGCUCCACAUUACCACCGAUAUCACCACAAGGUCAUUAGCAUGUGGGAAACGUCAUUUAAGUCGUCCUCUAUAAAGUUUAAAGACGACAUACACACUUCCUCGAUUGACAAAACCAUCACCGACCGAGCACUUGAUCUACCGCCACCCGAGAAUCCUCCCGAAAUUGUGUUCAAUUCCCCUAACGUUGGUUUCUCAUGAUUACCUUCCACCUACCUCCCUCCUCAACUCUUCCUUCCUUAUCCGAUCCUUCUUUUUUUCUACCUGUCUCUCCUCCCCUCCUUCUCUUGCCAUGAAAACUUUUAACAAUCCCUGUCUUAGCAACCCUUCAAUUUGCCUUGAAAGGAUGUAACAAUCUCCAGUUCAUGCCCGUAUGUUCUAUGGAAGUAACACCAAACAUUUUUGUUUCCUCCCAUAUGUUUUGUUGUCUUUUCUGGGAAGCACAAAAGUCUAGUCGUGUUCACAUCUUUAACAAUUUCCUCCUGAGAUGCCACCAAUUUUGGUGACACCCACUCCGGUCUUCCCAACCUCCUUUCAUUCACUGGUUUAAAACCUCCAUACGACCCACCAAACCUCCACUUAUCCCUUUUCCCUUUCAAAGGUUUGCCUCUAUUACUGACAGGUUGUAUACCGACCACCGACCCUUCAGUCCUCAUUUCUUCAUCUAACUUCUUUAUGGUAAACUCUUCUACUUUUAUGUGAGACACUGCCUUAAUGUUGAUGGCUGUCAUGUCUUCUAGUCUUCUUUGGACUAGUGACUCACCAAAUGUUCCUACCCUAAGCCCUCUAAUAAAGGCUUCCACAAACAUGCCUUCAUUAGGCAUAGGAAUUUGUACCACCACCUCAUUGGAACGCUGCAAAAACUGUUUUAUUGACUCAUUUUUCGCAUGUUUUACCUAAAACAAAUCUGCCACCUCUAGAGGCUUUGCUUUGUUUGCUACAAAGUGGGCAACAAACAACCCGGUGAAGACUUCUAGCGACAUGAUGAAUACACCUAGCAUAUUACUAAACCAAUUCAGCGCCAUUCCAACUAAAGUGCUAGCCAACAUCUAUCGGACAAACUCUGGUCCUCUACAAAUCAACAUCUGAUGUGAGCAUUAGGAUCCUGCUUUCCACUGAACAUCCCCAUUUUUGGGAAUUCAUAACCCGAAGAAAUUGGCUCUCCCAAGAUUUCUUCUGAGAAUGGUUGGAAAUCUGUCUCCACCUCCUACUGUCAUUGACCCUUUAUAUUCUGGCCCUCAAUUUGCCGUCGAAGCUCCUCAUUUCUCCUUUGUAUCAUUUCUUGCACUCUCGCAGAUUCCUCCAUCCUAGCCCUCACUUCUGCACUCUCCCUCCUGAAAUCCUCGUGAGCCCUCCUGAAUUCUUCCACCCUUUCCUCAUUUUGCCUCCUCAUAACCUCCAUCAUUUCCAUCAGAACAUGAGUUGCAUCAAGCAGUGGCGCUCCAUUCGCCUCUUCCUCUGGUGCCGCUCUUCGUGUGCCCCGCAUAAUGCUCAGUAAUUUGUAACUAAAAUUGAUAUGGCAUAGGAAAGUUUUACUUGUCCCACGGUGGGUGCCAAAAUGUUCUAGAUAAGAGUAUUAGUGAACUCAAACCUAGAAUAUUUAGAGUGACAAAAAAUAAGUGUACUCUUAACUUAGUAAGUGAUCUGUCUUUUCCUCUUGUGUACCCUCUAAUAUACUAAAAUCUCUUCGCUACCUAUUAUGUAUCCAACCUUCUUAUUGGCCUGAUUCUAUAAUAAAUUGCGCUGAUGACCUUAAUUACACCAAUUGGUUCAUGACCUUAAAGUUAGACGAUUCACGAUGCUACACUAAUAAAGUAGUGUGUACGGAAAAAAGAGUCGUAUAACGAUACAACUUUAACUAAUAAAUAAUAAAAAAUUACUUUAAUUGCCACUUUUAUGCAAAAUGUUAUCUCCCAGUAUUGAGGAAAUUAUCUCUAAUUAAUAGGAACCAUUGUAUAAACUAUUUUGACUUGCAAUGCAAGCUCGAUUUUGCAUUUUAUUUAUUUAUUUAUUUAUUUUAAAUUGAUUUGUUUACAAAUAGAAAAUAACAUUAUUUUUUUAGAUUUUUAAGGUUACACACAUCAUUACAAAAAAGAAAGAACAUUUCCAAAAAAAAAAACAAUUGACAUAGAGAGUACAAUUUAACGACAUUAUCUUGUUGAACACAAUUAACGUAAGCUCUCUAUAUUUUAUAAAACUUUGUGUUUUUGAAUUUAGAAUGCAAGUUAGGCUAUAUAGCCGUACAAACCCAAAACAAAAAUAAGAAAAUAUCACACCUGCACCCACUAAUUCAUGUACAAAAUAAUGGGUGGUUUCCUAACAACCAUAUUCCUAAUAAUUAGGCUAGUAAUUAACCACUUAUUUGAUGACUUUUUACGGCAAGUGCACCGCGUUUGUCAGAAGUAAUAAUUGUCUCUAAGGACGGAUAUCAAUCCCACAAGGAACACUGAAUUAUCGAGUACAAUAAUCGCUAAAUAUAAAAACAGAACAACUAAAAGAGUUUUUGAAUUAAUUGUGUUGGCAUUGAUCAAUAAGAAAACAGACAAAGAAUUAGUUGUUUCAAUUGGAAAAAUAAGGAUUAGUUUCAUCUCUCUCACCCUUAAGUAUUUUGAUUAGCAUGUCAAUAUUAAGUUCUUUGAUUGAAAUUGAUGCCCGUAUAAAAAUAAUUUAUAUCGAUUCCUCGCAUAUAAAAUCCUUAAGAAUGUCCCCUAACUAUCGAUCCCUCGCAUAAUUAUAAGAACAACUUAGAACGAAGCUCAGACGUUUAAUUGCAAUUAACAUUUCAAGUCUAUUCCUAGCACUCAAAUAUGUUAAGUAUUGUUGUUUAGGUCCAAACCCUAAAAAUACCUCCCGGUCAGAUUUAAGAUUCUCAAUUUGUCACGGAAAAUUAAAAGUAAAACAACAAUACCAAUCAUCAAUCAAGAACUGAAUAUUAAUAUAUAAGAUAUCAUCUCAAUACAUAAGAGUUUGAGCAGAUUACCCAAUCCUAAAGGGUAGAAUUAGCCACGCAUACUUCUAGCACCUUCCAUUCUCCCAAUUGGGUUACAAUUCACUUUAUGGUGUUUUCCUCUCAAUCUGGCACUCUAGGGUUGAGCCUCUAGCCCUCUAUUUAUCCUAGUUUUCUAGGGUUAGGUUGCUUCAUGUGUCACGCUAAUGGGCUAAAUGAUAAAACAUAAAAAAACCCAAUAUUUCUUUGCAUCUUUUUCCAUUCUGGGACCUUCCGGCUUUAUCUUUUUAGCUCAAAUUAUUCUCCUUUAUUUCAAAUCUUCAAUCUUUCCUAUAAAUCUGCAAUUAACACCAAAUUUAGGAAUAAAAUGCUCUUAUUCAAAUAAAGCUCAUAAAAAUGUAAAAAGGUAUAAAUUUAUAAAUUAGGGAUUAUUUUAUAUGUAAAUUAGCAAUAGAUCCUCAUAAGUGCCUAUAUUUUAAUAUGAAACAUUAAUGAAAUUAAGCACUUAUCAAUAAUGGGUGGUUUCCUAACAACUAUAUUCCUAAUAAUUAGACUAGUAAUUGACCACUUAUUUGAAACAGAAAAACAACUCUACUUAAUUAAAUAAAUUAAAAAACAACAAUUGAAAUUCUAACUGCUGCUAACAUUCCCUCCCUUAAACUAGAUGCAAUAGCAUUUAGUUUAAUUAUGAUGCUUCAAUUAUGCCCAACAUAUUGCGAAACCUUAAGAAUUGCUCCAAUUUGUGGGGCUUGGUCAUGAUAUCAGCAACAUGAUCCUGUGAACUGUAGUAACUUAACUUGACAACUCCAUACCAAAACGUGAUAGCACUUCAUGAACAUAUUUCUUCUGACAUACAAAAAUUCCAUUUGAACUCUGCAUAAUUUCAACUCCAAGAGAAUAUCUCAUUCUUCCUAAAUCAUUGAUAUCAAAUUCAGACAUCAUAGAUCUUCUAAACUAAUCACAUAUACUGCAAUCAUUUCAGUAUAUAUUAAAUCAUCCACAUAAAGACUCACAAUUAAAAUUUUACCUUCCUCCUUUGAUUUUGUAAACAAUAUAUAUUCACAAAGACAUCUGUCAAAGCCAUUACCAACAAAGUAAGCCUCUAUCUUGUUGUACCAAGCUCUAGGUGAUAGUUUAAGGCCAUAUAACGCCUUCUUUAAUUUGUACACUUUGUCUUCUUCUUCCUUUUUCACAAAACCAGUGGGCUGCUGCACAUAAAUGUCCUCUUUAAGUUCACCGUGAAGAAAGACACUCUUCAUAUCUAACUGAAAAAUAGUCCAACCAUAUUGUACUGUUGUUGCAAGUAUUAUACGAAUAGUAUCACGCCUAGCAACCAGAGCAAAUACUUCUGUGUAAUCUAGUCCAUAUUGUUGCGCAUACCCUUUUGCUACUAGCCUUGCUUUGAACUUGUCUAUCUCUUCAUUCUCUUUAAAUUUGGUUUUAAAGAUCCAUUUUACCCCAAUUGGCUUCAUUCCUCUUGGAAAAUAUGUAAGCUCCCAAGUCUGAUUUUUCUCUAUGGAUUUCAUCUCUUUCAUCAUUGCAUCUCUCCAUUUUUGUCUUUUGAUAGCUUCCUCGAAUGAAAUUGGAUCAUCUCCGGUGACCAUCAUUACAUUUAGGUCAGCAUCAUCAGAUAGACCUUCUCCUUUUUCAUAAUCAAUCAUCCAGACCGGCUCUCUCCUAUUCCUUCUAAUCCUCCCUUCAACUGGAGUCUCAUAAUUGUUAGGAGGAGCAUUGGUGCCUAUGGAACUGUCCAUAACAUCCUCUUCAUUUUGUUCCUCAAUUUCUUGAUCAUCGUUAUGAUCCACAACAUUCUCCUCACUCUGUUCUUCAGUGUCACUCAUGUAUUCCUCAUCUCCUCCCCAAUCAAGAAUGCCCUGUUGGUAUUCCUCAUUCUGUUCCCAAUUUCAUCCCUUUUGUUCUUCAAAUAUCACAUCCUUGCUUAUCAGUACUUUCUUGUUGAGUGGAUCAAACAAACGAUAUGCUUUGGAUUCAUCACUUACCCCCAGAAGAAUACAUUGCUUGCUUUUAUCAUCCAAUUUCUUGGAUGAAAGCGUUCUCAAACCAUUGUAACUUAAAUGACCAAGUCGAUUGUGCCAAAGCUCAUAAUUAUGCUUUAGCUCCACCUGAAAACAAGACUUUGUUGAUAUCAUGGUGGCUGUCAGCACAAACAUCCGAUUCUCCUUCAUCUUAACCUCCAUAAUCUGUCCUCUUUCAAGAUGAUAGACUUCACACUUCCCUUCCUUAAUCAAUAUAGUCAAGCCUUUCUCUUGAAGUUAUCCUACACUUAAGAGAUUAUUCUUAAGUUCAGGAACAUAAUACACAUGUGAAAUGACAUAUACGACUCCAUUAAUAUUUAAUUGAACACUUCCUUUUCCCAUCACAUCUAUCUGAGCAUCAUUGCCAAGCUUUAAUGUAUUGUGAUAGUUCUCAUCUAACUUUGAGAACCACUCCCUGUUACCACUCAUGUGAUUACUGCAUCCGGAGUCAAGAAACCAUUCAUCUUCCUUUUGUUGCUUAACAUCAACGUGAGCCAUUAGCAAAAGUUCAUCCUCUUGUUCCACUGCAUCUUCCACUUCAGCAUAAUUUAUUUUCUUUUCCCAGGUAGGACAUUCGUAUUGAAAAUGUCCAAGUUUGUGACAUUUGAAGCAUUCUAUCUCAGCUUUGUUAAAUGAUUGUCUCCCUCUUCCUCUACCUUGGAAAGAACCUCUGCCUCUUCCUCUACCUUGGAAAGAACCUCUGCCUCUUCCUCCUUUAUCUUCAUUUGUAAUUUGCAGUACUUGUUCUUCUUCUCCUUGAUAUGUCAUUUUUUGCUCGUGAACCAAAAGACUGCUCUGCAAUUCGUCAAUGGUCAUAGUGUCCAAGUUGUUGGAUUCUUCAAUUGAACACACAACGUAAUUAAAUUUAGGAAUCAUUGACUGUAAGAUUUUUGCAGUAAUGAUAUUCUCAAGCAUGCUUUCACCACACGCCUUCAUGUUUUUAGCAAUUUUCGAAGUACGGGCAAAGUAUGAGUUAACUAUCUCUCCGUCCUUCAUCUACAACAUUUCAAAAUCUCUUCGCAGGGCUUGUAAUUGUGCUCUCUUCACUCGAGUAGAACCUUGAAAUUUUUGCUUCAUAGAAUCCCAUAUGUGUUUGGAUGUAUCAUCAUUGAGGAUAGUAUCUAAGAUUUCUCGAUCAAUGGCUUGAUACAGAUAGUUCUUUAUCUUUAGAUCUUUCAAUCGUUGUUCUUCCAUGAGUUUGAGUUCUACUUCUGAUGCAGUAGCUUUAUUUUCUACUUAUGAAAUCCCAUGUUCCACCAACUGCCAAUACUCCUUAGAACGUAGAAAAUUUUCCAUUAAUUUUGCCCAAUGAUCAUAAUGCCCAUCAAACUUGGGAAUUGCAGGUUGCACAUAUUAGCUGGAAUCUGCCAUUUUCGAUAUUUCCUUCUUCUUAGAAGGAUACUGAUGUUGGCACACACUUACAACUGUUUCUCUCACACUCACACUGAUGUUAUCAAACACUCACACUCACAGCUAUUUCUCUCACACUCAAGUUCUGGAUCAGGCCCCUUAUAAAGGAGUUCUGAUACCAAUUGUUGAACACAAUUAAUGUAAGCUCUCUUUAUUUUAUAAAACUGUGUUUUUGAAUUCAGAAUGCAAGUUAGGCUAUAUAGCCGUACAAACCCAAAAUAGAAAUAAGAAAAUAUCACACCUGCACCCACUAAUUCAUGUACUGAAUAAUGGGUGGUUUCCUAACAACUAUAUUCCUAAAAAUUAGGCCAAUAAUUGACCACUUAUUUGAAACAGAAAAACAACUCUACUUAAUUAAAUAAAUUAAAAAAUAACAAUUGAGAUUCUAACUGGUGCUAACAUUCCCUCCCUUAAACUAGAUGCUAUUGCAUCUAGUUUAAUUCUGAUGCUUCAAUUAUUCGCAGCCUCAUCGUUGACACGUUCAUCAGUUUUUGUGUCCGAGUGGAGUGCAAGUAAGAUGACAAGUGCUUCAAGGAUUCCAUCCCUGAGUGCAUUCAAGUAUAUUACACUCAUCAAAUCCUCAAACUCCUCUGAUUUUUGCCACCUUUCAACCAAACCAUAAAACAGCCUCUCUAAUUCUUCACCUCUUCCUUUCAAAACACCAUUAACAUGCUCAUACUCUGCCACAUGAUCAAGGUCGUCUUGUCUCUUCCCAACAAACUCAUCAUAUUGAAUGUUGAAUUUCUGAAUCAGUUCAUCAUAUGGAUUUUUGGAAGAGCUCGCUGUGUUCUGAGCAGCAUUUUCAUUUUCCUUUUCAAGUAGUGCAAAUCUGUUGCCCAGAACUUGAUUUACCUCCUUCAUCUUCGAGAAGAGUUUACUCUUGACCUCGAAUUCCGACGUACUUUGUUGAUUCAUCAUCAUGAACAUUUGCAUGAGAGGGUCAUGAGAAGGAGGAAGUGUCACUGUAGUCCAAUCCAAUUGUGGAAUCCUCUGCUUUGGUUCUGGGGGUGAUACAAAAGCUGUAUUUAUCCCUCUCCUAUUUGCCAUUGUAUUUAGUGUUUCCCACACGUCCAAAUCAGGAAACCUCAACUUUGCUUCCAAGAGUCCACCGCAAACUCCACUCAAGUAUGUUCUAUUUUCAGCUGAGGGUAUUAUCUCCAUCCCUUUAGCUGAGGGUAUUAUUUCUCUUGACUCUUCCCAACAAACUUAUCAUAUUGAUUUUUCCCAGAGCUGGCUGUGUUUUGAGCAGCAUUUUCAUUUUCAUUUUCAAGUUGUGCAAAUUUGUCACGCAGAGCUUGGUGUUCCUCCUUCAACUUCCAAAAGAGUUUACUCUUGACCUCCGGUUCCAAAGUACUUUGUUGCUUCAUUACCAUGAAUAUUUGCAUCAGAGGGUCGUGAGGAUCCAAACGUAGUCCCUGUAGUCCAAUCCAAACGUUGAAGCCUCAGCUUUGCUUCAGUGGAUGAUCCAAAAGUUUCUGUAAUUCCUUUCCUUUUUGCCACAGUAUUAAUUGUUGGCCACAUGUCCAAAUCAGGAAACCUCAGCUUUGCUUCUAAGAGUCCACUGUAAAUUCCACUUAUGUAUGUCCUACUUUCAACCGAUGUUUGCACUUUCGCUUCAGGGCUCCAUCUAACCCUAUAACCCUUCUCCAAAGAAGCUCUUCUACUUUCAACAAUAUCAAGAGAAGGAAAUCUAUUCUGUGCCUCAAAAAGUCCAUCCGUCAUUCCUUCAUCAAAUAUCUCUCUCACUAUUUCUACCAUCUGAUGAUCAUAGCCUUCCUCCUCACUUCCCGUAUGGCCAGAGGUUGAAGCUUCUUCUACAUUACGCAGUUUCAGUGGAUCCUUUAGUGUUACCAACGCUAGAUCACCUAUGAUAGUAACUUUAGGCUCUCCAUCAUCAUUUUUUAUCUCAUCUAGAAUCUGCCUCAGCUUGGAUCUUCUAAAGCUGACCCUUUUGAUUUUAAUGCAUCCUCAGCAUCCUGGGAUAUUCUCUUUAGUUCUCCCAAUACAAUAUGCAUGCAAUCGUCUUUAGCCAUUCCUUCAAACCCCCUUCUUUCUUUGCUGUCCUGCCAUUUUUUAAACGUCUUCUUAAAUGAUUCGUCCAAACCUAGACUCUCUAUGAUCAUUUUAUAUUCCUCCCUAUCAUCUUUUGUAGGAACUAUUGCCAGUGGCAUCUCGUCUGAAUACACGGGAUCGGGAGAAGUGAAGAGGAGAUCAUCCAUUUUGGUUUUGUCUUCUUCAUACACAAAAGCUCCCCAACCACUUAUCACAAAGGAGGAAGUGGCUUUAUACGCAAUCUGGACCAGAUUCCACUCCUCCUCCAGAAGUGCGUCAAGGCCAAGCCACUCCUUGUCACUGAACAAAACUCGUAGAUCAAAGAUCAAGAUGUGUUCUGCUUCAAUUCUGAAUUUGCGACACCCUUUGCAAGGAACAUAUCGACCGUUGAUAAGUAAACGCAGAUCAACAACGCGCAAAUUUGUCCCUUUCACUCUCAUCUUGGAAGUGGAAGAUCAUGGCUAGAGCAAUGUUAGGGAACUUGCGACGAACCCAGAAACGAGGAUUCCUUUCGACCCCCACAUAGUUAAACCAUUCUGGAAUCUCAGUUGUAUAUGGCAUCACCACUUCUAAUCCAUGUACCCCUUCCUUCACCUAUCAAAUUAUUAUAACACUUUCAAUUGUAACUUCUACAUUUAUUUUAGAAAAUUUUGUAAAAUAUUAUUUUCCUAAAAUAAAGGUACAAGAUUUAACUUAAGUAAUAAUAAGUCAUGAUACCUGACGCCAUAACAUGUCUGAUGUCUCUCUAGUUAACUUGAAGCAAAAUCUUGCGUCUACUUUUUGAACAGUUGACGACAACUUUGAAAUUUCUUCAAGGUUGAAACAACGAUGAACAUCAAGAAUUGUCAAGUUAGUGAAUUCAGGAAUUUUUUUAAGCUUCUUACAUUCAGUCAAAUCGAGACUUGUCAAGUCACCACAUUCCUUGAUGGAUGAAGGGAUACAAACAAAAUUAUUCUCUGAAGCAAUCAAUUCUUCUAAUUUUGGAAAGUAGCAAAAAAUUGCAUGAAGAUCUUCAUUAGACAAGUUACCAUUUUCGACAUUCAGUGAUCGUAAUUUUGGACGAACAUUGGCUUUUGAAGGGUUUUGCACCAAACUUCUGAAGGAUUCUCGAAGUUUGGCGCAUGCUUCGAUUUUGAGGGAAACAACAUUGGGCAACAUGAAUAGGCUACUUGGUAGAUAUUUAAGUUCCCUGUUAUUUGAUAUGUCUAUACAAACAAGCCCAGUAAGCUUACCAAUGGAUUCUGGAAGCUCUUGAAUAGCAGUAUUUAUCAUAUAAAUCUUCAAUGGCUUUGUCAUUUCUUGCCUUAUCUCUGGGAAGUGACCAAGGCUUUCACAUAAAUUAAGGUCAAAGAAUUCUAAAGACGGUAGAAACAUUUCAGACAUGAAAUUUUUGAGUUUUGUGCAAUCUGAAACACUUAAAUGAGCAAGACUUUUCAGGAAACCAACAGAUCCAUGUACUGCAGUUAGCUCUCUACAAUGAUCAAGUCUCAGUUCUCUUAGAUUCUGAAGUUCAGACACAUCAGGUAUUUCUUUGAUACUUUGGUUAUAUGAAAAGUCCAUAAUAGUCAAGCAUGGAAAUUUCUGCCAAAUGGAAAGUCAAUAAAAAUUAUUAUUUGCAACAUUUUGAGUUAUUAACUUACUAAUGUGAAUAAAAUAUGGAAGUUUUUGUUUAAUGAAAAAUUGAAACUUAAAAAAUAGGAAAAUAUGAUGUAGAAUUGUACCUUAAAUGGCUCUUCCAAUGUUAGACGACUUCGAGGCAAAUUGAAAACAACAAUUUUCUUCGGAUGAAAUUUUGGUGGGAAAGACUUUGAAGGAUACUCUUCCCAGUCAAGCAGUCUUAAAUGAUUUGGUAAAUGUUCAAGUUCAGAUGAAAAUGAUGUGUUUCGAACAAUGAGAAUUCUGAGCCAUUUCAUCUUUUCAAACUCAAUUCCACUCCAAUUUACUUCUUCUCGCUGAGGAGGAUCAAGCAUAAUCCCUUGAAUCUUAUCACUUCCCUUUAACACAAGUACAAAGAAACAACAUCAAUUGCAUAUUAUCAGUAAUAUAAAAUACUAUAAUGUAUAAAUCGAAAACAAAGAGAGUAAAAGGGUAGAUGAUUACAUAAUCUUCUGUUAGAAUUUCAGUAACAUCUUCAUAAUACCAUAUUCUGCUACGUUCACCAGGAUUUGUUGAUUCCUGCUUAACAAUCUCUCUUCCCAUAUCUUGUAUUAGAUCAUGCAUCUUCAGGCAGUCAUACUCGAUAGUUAUGAGAGACUUAUUAAGAAGUACUUUCAUGUUGGUUGUUGAACGAAAUUCCUCAAGGAUCAUUUUCACAUAUUCCGUUCUCUCCCCUUUAAAGAAGCAAGCUAUGUCCAAGAAAAUUUGUUUGGCAUUAUCAUCCAAUCUAUCGUAGCUUAUUUUAAGCACAUCUUGAAUCUUUCUAUUUGGAGUCUUCUCAUAUUCUUUCAUUGCCAUUUCCCAAUCUUCUAAACUUUCAUGAAAAGCAGCUAAAUCAGAGCCUAUGACUUUUAAAGCCAGUGGAAGACCUUUGGCGUAAUCUACAGCACGCACAGACACAUCUUCAAAACCUGUUUUAGGAUAACUUUGUCUGAAGGCAUUCCAACAAAAUAGCUCUAAAGAAUGUUGGUCAUCAAGUUCUUUCAUUUCAUAAAUAUUUCCAACUUGGUGAGCAAUUAACACAUCUUUUUCCCUUGUCGUUACAAUGAUCCUACUACCUGAACCAAACCAAUUACACCCUCCUGCCAACUUUUCUAACUGAUCUUUAUCACCAACGUCAUCAAGAACCAAAAGAACUUUCUUUUUCUGAAGCUUUUCUUUUAUUUCACGCAUUCCUUUACUUGUGCUUCCCAAUUCAGUUUCCAACCCCUCCAACAUCUCAGAUAAAAGUGUCUUUUGUAGAUCUUCCAUGCCAUUGAUUCUGUUUGAUUUUUCUCUAACAUCGGAAAGAAAACUUGCAGCAUCAAAGUGUUGCACAAUUUUGUUAUACAAAGCUUUGGCAAGUUCCGUUUUUCCAAUUCCACCAAGUCCAUAUAUGCCCAACAUUCUUACAGUUUUAUCAUCAGACUUCAUGUCCAAAAGUGACAUAACUUCUUCUAUGCAGGCCUCAAGGCCAACAGGGUUUUGACCACUAUAUAAAGGUUUAGGAGUUAUAUAUUCCUUGACCUUCCCAACAAUUUCUUCAAUACAAUAGCUUUCAUCAUCCCUAUGAGAGUAGAGUAGAAUGUAAUAAUUAAUUAUUUGUUUGAUAUCAUGAUUUUUUUAUUAUUGUACUAAGUGAUUGUGAUUAUUGUAAUAGAUAGUAAGCAAUGAUACUAAUAGCAAGUAGCACAAAAGAAUAAUGAUUACACAUUAUACAAAAUUUACUGGAGAUGAAAAAGUUAAAGAAAUUUUAUUCUAAACAAAAAAUUCAAUAAUUUAUAAAAAAAUACCUAAAUAUAAUAUCAAAUUCAAAUAAAAAAUGGAUUUUUUUCAACUUUGUUUAUUAGUUUUUUUAUGUUUUAAAUUGUUUUUUAUAAUGUUCAGAAUUAUACUUUAUGACUAACAAAAUCAAUUAACACCCUGAAAAAAUCUAAAAUUUAAGAUGUGGAAUAUUAUAUAUAAGAAACUACACAUGAUAUAAAUAAUAUUACAUCCCAUUAUAAUUAAGAUGUAGAAUAUUAUAUUUAACAAACUACACGUGAUAAAAACAAUAUUACAUACCAUAAAGUAUAUUACAUGAAUCAUUUUUGUUUGUGAAAAGUAAAGUUCUACAUAAGAUCAACUUACUUUUGGUUUUUAACCUUUUAAAAAAGGUUAUAAUUAUUUUUUUAACUAAAAUCAUAUUUUUUGGAUGAGAGAAAAAUUAAGAGAGGAAAAGUAUUUUUUCUUUUAAAUUUCCCUUACCAAUUGUAUUUUUUUUUAUAUCUAAGAAAAGGUAAGUCUUAUGAUAGUGAUGUUAGUAAUGACUUCCAGCAAAGUUCGAAUAUGAGAAAUGCAUUUAAUAUUAAGGACUUGGAUCAAUAAACAAGAUUUUAGAAAUAAAAAUUCAUCGAGAUAGAAAAGAUAGAAAUGUUUUACUUUCUUAGAAUUAAAUAUUAAUGGUAAGUAAAACAAUACUCACCUACGAGCACAAUGCUUAAAAAAAUCUAAGAAAGUGUUGAAGGAACCCAAGAGAACAACAUGGUACUCAUUGAGAAAAUAUUGUUAGAGUCUAAGGUGUUCAAUAAACGCAAUUGAUGGUGGAAGUGAGAAACAACCAAGGUACAAAAAGACAAUCGAGACUCUUUAUGCUAUGUGUGAAAGAACCUACUACAACAACGUUAAUUGAGGUUAACAAUUCAUACAAUUAUAAACUUGUACCUGACUCUGCUAUUAAUAAUAGAAAUAGACUAUUUUUGGUUACGAAAUGGAAGUGUAGAGGCUAUUAGGUUAUGCGAAUUGGGUUAGGAAAUCAAAAUUACAUUUACAGAGUAGGAUGAAAAUAUUUUAAAGAUGAUUGAGAAAACAAAGGAAAGAGAAUGCAAAACGAAAAUAUUAAAGGAAGAGAAAAGACAAUCCAAUUAAUGAAGAUAAUAUGUUUAAACAUUAUAGGAGAAUUGAUUAAUAAGGAGGAGGUUGGGGUAGUGUUCUUACAAGAAACCAAAUUAGAAAUAGUCAAUAAAGAAAGAUGCUACAAUAUAAGAAACAAUGAUACAGAAUGGGAACAUUUUGUAGUUGUAAAUGGGGUACAUGAAAUUUUAAUUAAGUGGCAUAAGAAUACUUUCAUAUGUGACAUGUUGGGUAUAAAGCCAGAUCAAUUGGGUUGGGCUGACUAGACACCAUGUUUAGUGAGUGAGCUUAAUCAUUGUGUCCCUUUUAUAAUCUAUAUUUAAAGAGAUCAUUGUACUUGUAAUUGGUGUACAACCAGACAGAAAUGAAAACCUAAUAGUUGUCGGUGUGGGUGUAGGUUGCAGUUGGCGACCGAACCACGUUAAAUCUUGUAUUGUUUAUUUUCUGCAGUUGAUUCGUGAUUAUGUGUGUUGCUUCUGCUUGCGUUUUUUCCCAUCAAGUGGUAUCAAGAGCUUUGGUUCGUUUACACACUAGAGAUCCGAUCAGCAGAAAUUAAUCGACGAGACGUGAAAAUUGCGGCUGCAGUAGCGUCCUAAAGCUAGGGUUUCACAAAGGCGAGAUUAACGUUCCAAAGUUAGGGUUUCGCAAGGGUUGAAGUAGCGUCUCAAAGCUAGGGUUUCACAAAGGCGACAACAACGUCCCAAAGCUAGGGUUUCAUAGGCGCAAUAGCGUCCCAAAGUUAGGGUUUCGCAGAGGCGACAACAACAUUCCUAAGCUAGGGUUUCACAGGGACUGCAACGUUCCUAAGCUAGGGUUUCGCAAGGGCUGCAGCGACGUCCCAAAGUUAGGGUUUCACGGUGGCCCAGGAUUCGCGACAGCCUAGACCUGCGACUCGCGGCAGGUGUGCAAUGGUGUGGAUCGCUACAAGAGUGGUGGCGGCUCGUGACGUUGUGCAGAUGGCUUGCUCGUAGUAGGGUCGUGUCCAGGCAAUGCGGUGGAGUGUGCUAAUGUGACGACAGAUCGCGUUUCGCGGCGAACAGGUGCAGGUGCUUAUGGUGAGCGAGACGACACGAAGGUGCAGUGCGAUGGCAGUGACGGAAGACGCAGGGUGGCACGUACAUUUUUCUGCUGGUGCAGCAGUGACGGUGCGGUGCUAGGCGCGGGUGUGGCUGGUUUUUGCUGCGGCACGAAGUUAAGACAAUUCAGUUACUGAACACAUUAAUAAAAUGAAUUCGAUCUUAGCCAAACUUAUGUCAGUGGGCAUUAAGUUCGAUGAUGAAGUUCAAGCUUUACUACUGCUAUUGUCUUUGCCUGACAGUUGGUCCGGAAUGGUUACAACAGUUACCAGUUCAGUAGGAUCCGAUGGAUUCACUUUUGAGAAGAUUUGUGAUCUCAUUCUUGGCGAGGAUGUCCGAAGAAGGAGUUUUGGGGAAUUAGCUAGUGAAUCACUAUAUGUCAUCAGAGGUAAGAAAAAUAUCAAAGAUAGUGGGAGCAAGAACAAAAAAAGGAGUCAGUCAAAGACUCGGGAUUGCUCAAGUGUAACAUGUUGGAACUGCAAGGAGGUGAGGCAUUUCAGGAAUCAAUGCCCAAAUGAUAAAUAAGUCAACAUUGCAGAAGACUUCGUGGACGAGGACCUUUUAGCUUGUUGUGCGGAUUGAAGUGUGGAUUUCUAGGUCAUGGAUUCUGAAGCAUUGCAAAAUCUAGUUAUUGGAGACUUUGGAAAGGUAAGACUAGCAGACAACAAAACUCUUGAUGUUACGGGCAUGGGUGACAUAAUGUUGAAGACACUAGUUCGUUUCUAGACUUUGAAGGAUGUCAGAGUUGUUCUAAGCUUGACGAAAAGUUUGAUUUCUGUUAGGCAAAUGGACGAACAGGGACAUGAAGUGAAGUUCGAAAAUCAGCAGUGGAAGGUCGUCAAGGGAAAUCUUGUCAUAGCCUGCAGAAGAAAGAGAGGUUCGUUGUAUAUGGUCGGAUUACCUUCUAAGGGAGUGACCAUCCCAGUUCAGAAGAUAAACAAAGUUUGGUUCACAAAAUCUCGUGGGCAGAAGAGGGUCGUCUUUACAAGAGAGAAACCCAGAGCCACAGGUCAGAUUCAGGAUGAACGAGCAUGGAAAGGUUCAGGUAGACCAGUCAGAGGUACUUAUGGUAGUGGGAGCACGGGUCGUGCUUCAGUAGAGGUUCCUAGACGACAGUGGGUUAGUGAUUGACGUGUUGAAACUUAGGGGAGUUUUAACGAAGUCUUCUAAAUGAUUAAGAAAGUUGGUGGCAACUAGAGGUGGAACAUUGAAUUUCGUCGACAGAUUACAAAAGUACAUGUACACAGUUGAAGCGCAGGUGAACAUUGUUUCGUGACUUCAAGUGGGAGAUUGUUAGGUAUGAAGUCAAAACCAAUUGGGUUGGGCUGACUAUACAUCAUGUUUAGUGAGUGGGCUUAAUCAUUGUACACAGUUGAAGCGCAGGUGAACAUUGUUCCGUGGCUUCAAGUGGGAGAUUGUUGGGUAUGAAGCCAAGACCAAUUGGGUUGGGCUGACUAGACACCAUGUUUAAUGAGUGGGCUUAAUCACUGUAUCCAUUUUAUAAUCUCUAUUUAAAGAGAUCAUUGUACUUGUAAUUGGUGUGCAAUAGGACAGAAAUGAAAACCUAAUAGUUGUCUGUGUGGAUGUAGGUUGCAGUUGGCGACCGAACCACAUUAAAUCCUGUGUUAUUUAUUUUCUGCAGUUGAUUCGUGAUUAUAUGUGUUGCUUCCAUGUGAUUUUUUCCCAUUAAAACAUUGGUUAGAAAUACAAGUUUUUUUAGGAGUUAAAGAAAGCUAGAAAAAGAAUAAUAGGUCAAUAGUAAUAGUGAAUGUGUACUCCCUUGUAACUAUAGUGAUAAGAUAGUAAUGUUGGAUGAAAUAGCAAGAUUAAGAUAGGAAGAAGAAUGCAAAAUCUAGUGUGUAUUGGAGAAUUUUGACGGAAUAUGAAAUUUAGAUGAAAGAAGAGGUAUAAAUCAAGAUGGUAGAGGUUAGAGGGAUACAAUAGAAAUUAAUGAAUUUAUAGAAAACACUGAAAUCAUGGAUAGUAGUUAGAAAAUUUACUUCGUAUCCAAAUGGAAUUGCAAAAAGUAGGUUUCACAAAAUUUUAUUCAGGAGAGCGUUAGAUCAUUGUGUUAUGGUGUUAAAUUCCAUACAAAUAUAUUGGGAUUUGAAUCCAUGACCUUGUAAUGUAUGGAUGCACUAGUAAAGAGUCCACGAAAGAAUAGCGGUGUUAGUGGAUGUGGUAUGGUCACUAAAAUAAACAUACAAUCGAGGGUCAAAAUCCAUAAAAAAGACCAAAAUUUCAUCAAUAAUAUGGUUGUCAGUAAAUUUACCAGCAGAAAAAGUUCUGUCAAUAAUUAUUAAUAUUAUUAAUUAUUAUUUUAAAAAUAAUAUUUAUCUUUAACAAAUUAUAUUAUUAUUAUUAUUUCUAAUUAUAUUAGCACAUUAUUAUUUUGUUGCAAGUGGGACUUAAAACUGAGGAUUAGUGGUAGGAGAGUCUCUAACCACUUGAAUAAAGUGAUGUCAUUGUAAUAUUUUGAUUUUUAUUAUGUUAUUAAUAAUAAUAAUAAUAUUAAAAAUAAUAAUAAUAAUAUUAUUAUUAUGAAUAUUAUUGUAAUUAUUAUUAUUAAUAUAUUAUAAUUAUUGUAGUCAUUAUUAAUAUUAAUAUUGUUAGUAUUAUAAUUACAAAUAUAAAACUAAUAAUAAUAGUGGUAAUAAUUACAAUAAUAAUAAUAUUAUUAAUAAUAAAAUUACUAAUAAUAUUAAUACUAACAUUAUUAUUAAUCUUAAUAUUAAUAAAAUUAAUAAUAUUUAAUAAUUACAAUAAUAAUAAUAAUAAAAUAUUAAUAAUUAUAAUAUUAAUAUUAAUAAUAUGAAUAAUAAUUAUAGUAAUAAUUCUAAAUGUUACUAUUACUAAAAUUCACAAUAAUUUCAAUAAUUAUAAUAAUUUGAUAUUAUUACUAACACUACAAGAAAAUCAUGAAAUAGAAAUCAAUUUUAGAAACAAAAAAUAAUUAGUUGCUAUAGUGACUAAAUUAGAGACCAUUUUAGGGACUAAAUAAUUUUUUGGUUUCUAAAUUAGUUUCUAUUAUUGUUAAAUGGUUUUUAAAUUGGUAUCUAAUUAGUAACCAACUUUUUUGCUACCAAAUUUAAAAUCUAAAUAAUUGGUAGUUAGAAUUUUGGUUGCUAAUUAGAUACCAAUUUAGAAACUAUUUAAAUAUAAUAGAAACUAAUUUAGAAAUCAUUUUUUUUAGUUUCUAAAAUGGUCUAUAAUUUAGUUACUAUUGCAACUACUUAUUUUAGUCUCUAAAAAGGUUUCUAAUUUAGUUACUAUUGCAACUAAUUAUUUUAAUCUCUAAAAAUUGGUUUCUAUUUGAUGAUUUUCUUGUAGUGUAAAUUCAAUAUUAGGCUAAGUAACAUUCUCUUCUAUUUCUAUUAGUGAUAAUAUAGUCCUAACAAGUGAGUUCACAUAACUAGAAAUUAAGAAAGCAAUAGACAGUGUAAGAGUGAUUAAAUUUUGGGCAAUGGCUAUAAAAUUGGCUUUACAAAGAAAUUAUGGGAGGUUGUAAAAGUAAAAAUCAUACCAUCUACCCAUUCUUUCAAACUCCUUAGUUGGGUGUAUGUAUAAGAUAAUAUGUAAAGUGUUGUCUAGUAGGUUAAAACAUAUCUAUCUAAGAUGAUUGAGAGCUACUAAUCAACAUUCAUGAUGAAGUAUUUGAUUAAAGAAAACAAGUAAAAUAGAUGCAAUGAUGACGAAUGAAUGGAAAGAGGAGGAUGGGGAAUUUUACAAUGUAAAUUACAAAAAGUUAUAACAUAUUUGUAAGAAGAAAGACUCUAACAUGUUUAAUCUUUUCUAGAAGGUGAAGAUGCUACCCUCAAUACAACAUUUUGCAUGGAAGGUAAUAAAUAUUAAAUCGUGUAGCAACAAAACAAAAGAAAAUUGGAGGAGUAAGGGAGUAAUGAUAGAUAAUGUUUUUUGCCCUAUGUGCAUAUUAAUGGAGCAAUUCGUUAACCAUUUAUUCUUCAGAUGUAACAUUGUACGUUGUGUGAAAUAUGUGCAACAACUAGGUUGGAGUAAGUACUCUUAUCACUACAAAAAAAAAUCAGUAUUAUUUAUGCAUUUUUACCCAUGAAUCUGAACCCGUAGGUAAAUUCAACAUUAUCUACAUAUAUUACCCAUGGAUAUUACUCACAGAUUCUUAGUCUGUAGGUAAAUUCAACAUUACUUACUAAUUAUUACCCACAAAUCUUAUUACCUACCAACUUUUACCUACGGAUCUCUAUUACCUACCAACUAUUAUCAUAAUAAUUACAUACAUAAAUUAAAAAUAUUAAUAUAAUAUGAAGCAUUAUAAAAUCAUAAUUAAUAUUCAUAAAUAAUAAUAACCAUAACUAAUUUAUACAUAUUUUUAAUAUUAUAAAAUUAAUAAUAUUAAUAAUAUUAAUAAUAUUAACAAUAUUUAAUAAUAUUAACAAUAUUUAAUAAUAUUUAACAAUAUUAAUAAUAUUAAUAAUAUUAAUAAUAUUAACAAUAUUAACAAUAUUAAUAAUAUUUAACAAUAUUAAUAAUGUUAAUAAUAUUUAACAAUAUUAAUAAUGUUAAUAAUAUUAAUAAUAUUAAUAAUAUUAAUAAUAUUUAACAAUAUUUAACAAUAUUAAUAAUAUUUAACAAUAUUUAAUAAUAUUAACAAUAUUAAUAAUAUUAACAAUAUUUAACAAUAUUAAUAAUAUUAAAAAUAUUUAACAAUAUUAAUAAUAUUAAAAAUAUUUAACAAUAUUAAUAAUAUUAAUAAUAUUUAACGAUAUUAAUAAUAUUUAACGAUAUUAAUAAUAUUUAACGAUAUUAAUUAUAUUUAACAAUAUUAAUAAUAUUUAAUAAAUGAUAUUAAAUAUAUGAAUAAUGUUAUUAAUUUUUAUUUUAUUAAUUAUUUUAAUAUUGAUAAUCAUACUCAUAAAUAUAAUAAUAAUCAUAACAUGAUAACAAAACUUGACUGGUGGAAUGGUUAAAUCUUCUAUGAAUAUUUUUUCAAGGAACUUGAAAUCACCUGCACCUGCAGUUUAGUUCUAACAUUAAUUAUAACAUUUAUUAUUUAAAAUUUUAAUUAAUUGGGAGAUAUUAGUGUAUAUAUGCCCAACAACUUGCAUAAUAAUUUUCUUUCCCUCAAAGUUGUCACUCUUCCAUUGAAUCAUUGUUGUCAAGUUAAUUAUUUUUUUAUUUUUUAUUUAUUUUUAUUUAUUUUUUCCUGACCAAUUCGCCCCGCUCCAUCGCUGACCCGCGCGGAUCGUGGAUUAUACGGGACGGGCUAAUGUGGAUUAGCGGAUUGAAAACGUCAAUCCGCCCUGCAUUUUUUGCCGUAGACCGACCCGUAUAACCCGUUCCACUUUGUCACCCCUAAAUGGAGUCUAGACCUAAAUGGAGUAUAGUGAUCAUGCAUUCUUAUAGGAGGAACAGUAAAUUGAUUAUCUGAGUUUGAUAAUGUUAUAAUUUUGUCUAGUACAAAAAUUGAAAACAUGCGAACUAUCCAAACAUAGGUCACUAACCAAAGAACUAAAACAUAAACAACAAAAAGAUUAUUUUAUUCUGAUAGUCAAAAUCCAUUACACAUAACAAUAAAUCUGGUCUUUUAUUUCAAAACAAAACACAUAGUUAUGCAUCGUUCGAUACUAUUAUUUUCUAUUUAGAUUUAUAAACAAAUAUUAUAAUUUUAUUUCUUUCACUAAAGUAACAUUAUUAUUUUUUAUUCGAGAUUUGGGAUGAAAAAGAAAUAAGAUUGAAUGGUUUGUUAUACAUACCCGGUGGUAAUAUGCUUCCCUGGGAAGUCAACUGCUUGAGACAAGGCUGACCUCCAAGCCUGCAUCUGUGAUUCUUUUGCAAUGUCAUUUUCAUGUGCCUUCAUGUGUUUUCCGAAGCUAUUUCUCUCGUGCCGUAUAUCUGAGGGAUCUACAUGGUAAAACACUGGGUAAACAAGCUGCUUCUUCUCCUUCAUUUUGCUUCGUUCUAUGAUCCUAACAAGUUCAUCCAGACACCAUCUGGAAGAUGCAUAGUUCUCAGAAAACACAACGAUGAAAAUCUUAGAUUCUUCAAUGGCCUUCGACAGAUCAGGUGGAAGACUUUCCCCUGUCCUCAUAUUCUUAUCAUCAUUGAAACUUUUUAUUCCCUUCCCAUCUAACUCUCUACGCAGAUGCCCUAUAAAAUUGUUCCUUGUAUCUUCUCCUCUAAAACUGAUGAACACAUCAUAGGUGAAACCAAGACGCUCUUCUUCCUCACCAUGUUCUCCCAUGCUACAAACACACCAAAACUACACUAUGGAUUCUCAACUACUUUCAUCAAUUUAGUGUGUUCUGAUUAAAUACACUUUCUUUCGCGGAUACACGCUUUCAUGUAUCAGUGAAUUAAGCUUCUUAAUUAUAGGGGUUGACCAAGAAGAUGAAGAACAUGGGAUAUAAUUAUUACAACUACCAAACAUGAUGCCUCGAUCUUGAAAAUAAAGAUGAUGGGAACACAAGUAAUUCACGUGGUGCAUAUUUAAUGUGGUUUAUAUUGUACAGAAUUGGAUUCCUGUGUAUAAAAAAAUAUAGCGUUCAUAUUUAUGUGUAUUUAAUUAAAUUUAUAAUAUUGUUUUUCUAUUUUAUAAUAUUGGAUUCCCUUGUAUAAAAAUGUUUUCUUUUACGUUUUUUCGGUUUUUUUUUUCUGGUCAAAGUUGCAAACUUUAAUUAUCUCUGUCAUUCUUUCAUUUCUUUUGCCAAAAUGCUUUCUCUUGCAUCUUUUUCAUUUUUUUAUUUUUGGUUCUCUGUUUUUGUUAUUCUUUGGCGUUUGUCAAAAUAUUUUCUCUUACGUUUUCCCCAUUUUUUUUCUUAUGAUUCUUUGUUUUUUUUUUUUUAAUUUUCAUUGUUCUACGCAAACUUUGAUCAUUCUAUGCCAUCCUUUAUUUUUUGUUUGUGAAUUAUUACUGAAAAUUGUAGGUAAGCUGUAUUUUGGUGAUACGAACAAGAUUAAAUGUAAUCAAUAUUUUGUUGAUCAUAAGCAAAUGUUGUUCAAUGAAUAUUUGUUAUUAUGUUAAUUUUGAUGUAUUUUGUUAAUUAUGUUACUAAUGUCGAGUUAUUUAUAAUUUUAUUCGUUUUCUCCAUAAAAAUUUAAAAAAUGUAUUUAUACUAACUGUUGGUGUAACAUCCCUAAAUUUACCCAUAUAUAUAUAUAUAUAUAUAUAUAUAAUAAAAUAAUAGUAAAACAAACAAUAUUUAAUUAACAAAUAAACAUAUACUACUUGUUGAUAUUUGUAUCUCAAAAAUAUAUACAUCAAAAGUUUAAAAACAAAACACAGCAAAGCAUUCAAUUUAAAUCUAUCUAAUCCUCCUUCUGCUCACUGAGGAGCUCUAUUACCUACAACUUCAUCUGCUCCCGUGUAAAUUAACACGAUCAUCACAGAUUAAAGAAAACAAAAACAAACAAAUAACAUGGUAAGCUAGUUAUAUAAAACAAAAUUCUAUAAAAUUUCAAUUUGAAAUUUAUAAAACAUAAAUCAUCAAGUCUCGUACAAAUUCUCAAAUCAUCAAGUGUCUAUUAAAAUUCAACAUUCAUCUUUCAUAUGUCAGACUUCCACUGACUAAUAUAACAUAGACACUUGAUUCUACUUCUGAAAGACUCGUGUAUUGAAAUUAGCAUCCAGAGACCUGCACCUGUCAUACUACUGCUGUGAAAUCCACACAGUCAUGCGCAUAAUUAUCUCAAUAUCUCAUCCACUCAUAUGACAGGGUAAAUUCAUAUGACCUGAAAGAUCAGGUUCUAUUUCAAACCCCAGACAUAAUCAUAUGAACCUCCAUCGACUCUCACCAACUGAAUAACUUCAUCUAUGUUAUUCCAUUAUAUCAGUAGAGUCAGGAUUGUCUAAUUCACAGAUACUCACAAAUCAAUACACCCUAACAGCAAUCUCAACACGGUAUUUUCUUUCCUGAAAAUACUAUGUCUUGAUCUUACUUUCACAUCAAUGCACACUUCAUUUAACACAUCAAUACACCAUACAAUCAUAACAUAUAAUUUAACUUUCUAAUAAUCCAAAUAUAUCCAAGAAGUUAUUUAAUAAUAGUAAUCCAAAAUAAACUAUGCUAAAAUAAUAAUAAUAGUAAUAUCCAUAUAUGUAUACAAAAUUUUGAAUUGAUCGAAAAUAUUUUAGGUUUAUCUAAAUGACACCAGAGAGCACCAAAAAAUUUGGAUUGAUCGAAAAUAUUUUUAGGUUGAUCGAAAUGACACCAGAGAGCACCAGAAAUUUUAGAUUGAUCGAAAAUAUUUUUAGGUUGAUCGAAAUGACACCAGAGAGCACCAGAAAAUUUGAAUUGAUCGAAAAUAUUUUUGGUUGAUCUAAAUGACACCAGAGAGCACCAGAAAUUUUAGAUUGAUCGAAAAUAUUUUUAGGUUGAUCGAAAUGACACCAGAGAGCACAAGAAAUUUUAGAUUGAUCGAAAAUAUUUUUAGGUUGAUCGAAAUGACACCAGAGAGCACCAGAAAUUUUAGAUUGAUCGAAAAUAUUUUUAGGUUGAUCGAAAUGACACCUGAGAGCACCAAAAUUACAAAGUCCAUGCUAUAGCUGAAAAUUACUCUAAAUCAACUUCAAGCAACCAAAAAUCAACAACAUUAUAAUUUUAUAACAACAAUCAUAUCAAAUUUUACAUUCAAAUCUCAGUCAAUUACUAAUAUACUUAAAUCAAACAACCUUGGAAGAAAGUUUGAGACUGGUGACCACAUCACCCUCACAUCCAGAUCUUCUAGCCUAGUGUUCUAUUGGAAAUUAAGGCUAGCUUCCCUUACCUGAAUUUUAGUAGAUAUACACUAAGAGCUCCAAAACCACCAAGAACUCAAAGGUAACUUAACCUGCACCACAAAGUCCAAAUAAAAAAUCUAACUAUAUUACUAAGACCCUGAGCUAACAGAGAUUAACCUUGAAGCUAAAAGGGUCACAUGCAAAGCAAGACAAAAACAACCUGACAAGUUCAAAAUUUGACUCAAAGAGAAGAGCAAAAAUGAACUUACUCUAUCAGAGAUUCUGAUCGGGCAGUCUUGUAGUACUCACUGCCAGGAGUCUGAUGGUGGACUCUGAUCGUCAAACCGAUGAACGAGGAAGUCAGAAUCUUAGAGAAGGGAGAGAAAAAGAAAAGAACUUUCUAGAGAGAUGGUGGUUCUUUUUAAAAUGAAACCUGAAUAACUGAAUUUCUAUUUAUAUUCCCUUUUCAUUUUAGAUAAAAAAAUAUUCAGGAGUCAUUUAAAAUAUACCACUUCUACUCUAAAGUAAUUUUCUAGAUCCUUACAUUCUCCCCAACAAGAAAAAUUUUCGUCCCCGAAAAUUGACUUACCAGAAAAGAGAUAGGGAUAACUUUCCCUAAUGGUUUCUUCUAAUUCCCAAGUGGAAUCACCAGAUAUAUCAUCCCACACCACCUUCACCAUACUGAUGGUCUUGCCCCUGAGUUGUUUACUCUUUUGAUCUUCAAUCCUAAUUGGUUUUGCUUCAAAAGACAAGUUAUCCUUGAUUUGCACAUUAUCCACUUCCAACACGUGACUAGGAUCUGGAAUAUACUUUCUUAGUUGUGAUACAUGAAAUACAUUGUGCAGGUUUGCUAAUUGAGGAGGUAGAGCAAUCUCAUAAGCCACUGGACCUAUCUUCCUUAAGACUUGAUAUGGUCCAAAAAACUUAGGAGAUAACUUAUUUGAUCUGAUAGCUCGUCCUACACCCUUGGUUGGUGUCACUCUCAUGAACACUUGGUCUCCAGCUGCAAACUCCAAAGGUUUUCUCCUCUUAUCUGCAUAGGAUUUCUGCCUACUUUGAUAAGCUUUCAAUCUGUCUUGUAUCUGCUUCACUUUCUCAGUGGUCUGUUGAAUUAACUCUGGCCCAACCAAAACUGUUUCACCAUCCUGAUACCAACAUAAAGGAGUUCUGCACUUCCUCCCAUAUAGAGCUUCAUAUGGUGUCAUCCCAAUACUGGCAUGAUAACUAUUAUUAUAAGUGAACUCCACUAGAGGUAACAUCUCAUCCCAACUUCCCAGAUGAUCCAAAAUACAUGUCCUCAACAGAUCUUCUAAAGACUGGAUCGUCCUCUCAGACUGUCCAUCUGUUUGAGGGUGAUAUGCAGAGCUCAUUCUCAACCUAGUUCCCAAAGAGUCUUGUAGAGUUUGCCAAAACCGUGAAGUAAACCUGGGAUCUCUAUCCGAAACAAUACUGGAAGGCACUCCAAGCAAUCUCACAAUCUCUUUGAUGUACAACUGUUCCAACUUGGCCAUAGAUAUCCUUAAAUUAACUAGAAGAAAGUGAACACUCUUUGUCAGUCGAUCAACUAUUACCCAGACUGCAUCAUGACCCCUUACUGAUCUUGGUAAGUGAGUAACAAAAUCCAUAGCAAUGUUGUCCCAUUUCCACUCAGGAAUAUCCAACUGCUGUAACAAACCACCAGGUCUCUGAUGUUCUACUUUUUCCUUCUGACAUGUCAAACAUGUACCAACAUACUGAGCUAUUUCUUUCUUCAUGCCUGACCACCAAAAGGACUCUUUCAAAUCUUGGUACAUCUUUCAUACCGGGAUGUAGACUAAGAUGACUCUUAUGACCCUCUUCUAGGAUCAUUCUCUUCAGCUCUUCAUUUUCAGGUAUGCAAAUCCUGCCAUUAAAUCUCAAGAUCUCAUCUUCUCCCAUCACAAAGUCCUUAACUUGAUUUGUACCUAGUAACUCCACAGUACGCUUCAGACUAGGAUCCUCUAACUGUUUUUCCUUUAUUAUUCCAAGGAAAUCAUUAGUUAUAGUUAACUUACUACAACUAAUAUGAUUAAUAUGAAAUUUCACUCCCAAAUUUAGAUCCUUGAACUGCUCAAUCAACUUCUGCUCUUCAAUCAUCAUAGCUGACACCUGUACUGACUUUCUACUCAAAGCAUCUGCAACUACAUUAGCCUUCCCUGGAUGGUACAUCAAUUGAAAAUCAUAAUCCUUCAGAAACUCCAUCCAUCUUCUUUGUCUCAUAUUCAACUCUUUCUGAUCAAACAAAUAUUUUAAACUUUUAUGGUCACUGAACACCUGAAAUUGAGCUCCAUACAAAUAAUGCCUCCAAAUCUUCAAAGCAACACUACUGCUGCCAAUUCUAAGUCAUGAGUAGGAUAAUUUCUCUCAUGAACUUUGAGUUGCCUUGAAGCAUAUGCAACUGCUCUCUUCUCUUGCGUUAAGACACAACCUAAACCCUGAUAGGAAGCAUCACAGUAAACCUCAAAAGGUUUUCUUGUAUCAGGAAUCACUAACACCGGAGCACUAGUUAAUAUUUUCUUCAGCUCUAUAAAACUCUACUCACAUCUGUCAGUCCAAGCAAAAGGUUGAUCUUUGCGAGUUAAUUGAGUCAAAGGAGCUACUACCUUGGAAAAAUCUUCAAUGAACCUUCGAUAGUAUCCAGCUAAACCCACAAAACUUUUUAUCUCUGUGACUGUCCUAGGGUGUUCCCACUGAAGCACUGCCUCCACCUUGGCUGGAUCCACUGAGAUCCCCUGAGCUGAUAUUACAUGCCCUAAGAAAUUGACUUCCUCCAGCCAAAACUCACACUUAGAGAACUUAGCAUAUAAUUGUUUUUCCCUCAAAAUUUCCAACACUAUCUUCAGAUGUUCUUCAUGUUCUUCCUCGGUCCUUGAAUAAAUAAGUAUAUCGUCUAUAAAGACUACAACAAACUUGUCCAAGAAAUGACGGAAAAUUCUAUUCAUGUAAUCCAUGAAAAGAGCUGGAGCAUUUGUUACUCCAAACGACAUCACCACAUACUCAUAGUGUCCAUAACGAGACCUAAAAGCUGUCUUCUGAACAUCUUCAUCUUUUACUAAAAUCUGAUGGUAUCCAGAUCUCAGAUCAAUCUUUGAGAACACUGAGGCUCCAUGUAACUGAUCCAUUAAAUCAUCAAUUCUGGGCAGAGGAUACUUGUUUUUGAUGGUCAACUUAUUCAACUGCCUGUAAUCUACACACAACCGAGACCCUCCAUCCUUCUUUUUAACUAGAAGCACCGGAGCCCCCCAUGGAAAUACAUUGGGCUUGAUGAACUGUUUCUCCAAUAAGUCUUCAACUUGCUUCUUUAGUUCAAUUAAUUCAGCUGGAGCCAUUCUGUAAGGUCCCAUUGACACUGGUCCAGCUCCAGGUGCCAAAUGAAUAGAGAAUUCUACUUCUCUCUUGGGAGGUAAUCCAGGUAUUUCUUCUGGAAAUACAUCCAUGAAAUCCUUCACCACAUGUAUACUACUUAUUUCUUUAUCAUUCUUAACUCCCAUCUGAGUUAAGAUUACAAGCCACCUUGAUCCUUCUUUCAAUUCUGACCACACAUGUUGAGCAGACAUCACAUAUGACUCCUUGGAAUAUGAAAACACUAUUUUCUGUUGACUACAAUCUAUGAGAAUGUGAUUGACAGAUAGCCAAUCCAUUCCUAGAAUAACAUCCAGGUCUUGAAGAGGUAGACAAAUUAAAUUUAUUUUGAAAGUAUCGAUUUUACUUUCGGAUCUUUAGCUGGCACUCACUGACCCCGUCUUUGCUCUACAAAGUGUUGCGGUAGGUAAAGAACUCGAUCUUAAUAUAAAUUUCCAGCAGGCUCUCUGUGAUCUAUCUUGGACUGGAAAUGGAGAUUGAUUUGAAUAUGCAGUCUCUCUAGUGGCAUCUACCCUUUAUCCUUUGUUUGAAUUAUUAAGUAAGUAUAUGCAUUGAUUUGAUAAUUUAUUUUGAUGUAUGCAUUUAAAGGUCCUUUCUUGUGAAAAUAAAUGUUCUGGGAUUGGUUGGCGCAUUACAAAGGCUUGCUUGCAUUGCAUGAAAGCCGCUUUAGCAAGAAAGGCGGGAAUCUCUUCAAGGGUUGACAACUGUGAGAUAUGAACUAUUAUUGGACAUUCAAAACAAACUGUAGAGGUCAAUACUUUUCCUGAUGCAGGGGUAGAGACCAGCAGUUCAAACGACAACUCUUUCACUAAAAGACCCAACUCAUCUACACACAAAAGAAUGUGUCGCUCCUGAAUCAAACAAAACUUUCACACAUCUACCAGCUAUAUAACAUACACCUUGUACCAAAUUACCUGACUGAGAUGUUUCAGCUCCUGACAUAGAAAAAACUCUUCCAGUUGCUUGGGGUCUGCCACCCCCUCCUCUUCCUAGUUGUAAGUUACCUCCAAGAAUUAUCCUCCUCUUAUUAGGGCAAUCUUUUGAUAGAUGUUCUUCUUUAUGACAAGUAUAACAUUUUCUCUCUGAUAAAAGUUUAGGACAAUCUUUCUUCAAAUGGGGUCCAACACAGUGAUAACAUGUGGGUAUCUAUGGUGGUUGUUGCUGAAACUGCGGUGGAGCUGCUCCUGCCCUAUGUUGUGGAGGUCUAGCAUAAGGCAUGUGUUGUUGAUGUUGUACCUUGGCCUUUCCACUAGAAGACCCUCCUGGGUGUGAUCUCAUUACCCUGGAAUCCCCCUUUUCCAAGGUCUCCACCAUCUUCGCCUUCUCCACUAAGCUAGGAAACUCCCUGAUGCACAUAGGUGAUAUAAUCUUUUUCAACUCAUGUUUUAAACCUUCUUCAAACUUCCUACACCUCCAAGCCUCAGAGGUAGCUUGUAGAAUCUGGCUAGAUACUCAAACCUAGCAGCAUAAGCAUUAACUGACAUCUCUCCCUGUUCCAACUUGAGAAAUUCAGUUUCCUUUGCAAACCUUGCACUAUCUGGAAAAUAUUUCUCCAGAAACAUCACUCUAAAACACUCCCAGUCCAAAACUUCAGCUCUGACUUCCAUCAUUUGUUGAGCUCCCAUCCACCAGAACUCUACUUCUCCAGACAACAAAUAUGUAGCAAAAACCAAAUUCUUAUCCUCAGGGCAUGAGGUUGCCUUAAAGAUCUUCUCUAUCUCCCUUAUCCAUUGGUUUGCUUGAUCCGGAGUGGCAUUCCCACUGAACUUAGGUGGGUUAUGCCUCAUGAACUCUGUCAGUCCCAACUGCUCUUGAGACAAACUGACAUGGGAAGUUGUUGCAGCAAAUCUAGCAUUCUCCCAAUGAUGCAUUGUUGUCUGGUGAUUCUGAGCCAUUGCCAUAUUCUGUUGUUGGAUAGCUUUUGCCAUCAUCUCAAUAGCCCUGACAAUCUGGUUCAUCUCAGAAGAAGGUUGGGGAGGGGUAGGAGGUCUAGGAGCCAUUCUAUAAAACAAAGAAGAAAGAUUCAUGAUAAAUCUUUAGAAUUUUAAACUAUGUAGUUUUUACUAACAAACCAAUUAAAGCACACAAAAACAACCCCAUAACUCUUAGGUCUCCUAAGGUUCGAAAAGCUCUGAUACCAUAAUGUAACAUCCCUAAAUUUACCCAUAUAUAUAUAAUAAAAUAAUAGUAAAACAAGCAAUAUCUAAUUAACAAAUAAACAUAUACUACUUGCUGAUAUUUGUAUCUCAAAAAGAUAUCCCUCUUCAUAGGGAUUUAAUAUAUACAUCAAAAAGUUUAAAAACAAAACACAGCAAAGCAUUCAAUUUAAAUCUAUCUAAUCCUCCUCCUGCUCACUGAAGAGCUCUAUUACCUACAACUUCAUCUGCUCCCGUGUAAAUUAACAUGAUCAUCACAGAUUAAAGAAAACAAAAACAAACAAAUAACGGGUAAGCUAGCCAUAUAAAACAAAAUUCUAUAAAAUUUCAAUUUGAAAUUUAUAAAACAUAAAUCAACAAGUCUCAUACAAAUUCUCAAAUCAUCACGUGUCUAUUAAAAUUCAAUAUUCAUCUUUCAUAUGCCAGACUUCCACCGACUCAUAUAACAUAAACACUUGAUUCUACUUCCGGAAGACUCGUGUAUUGAAAUUAGCAUCCAGAGACCUGCACCUGUCAUAUUAUUGUUGUGAAAUCCACACAACCAUGCGCAUAAUUAUCUCAAUAUCUCAUCCACUCAUAUGAUAGGGUAAAAUCAUAUGAACCUCCAUCAACUCUCACCAACUGAAUAACUUCAUCUACGUGAUUACAUUAUAUCAGUAGAGUCAAGAUCGUCUCAUUCACAUGAUACUCACAAGUCAAUACACCCUAACAACAAUCUCAACACGGUAUUUUCUUCCCUGAAAAUACUAUGCCUUGAUCUUACUUUCACAUCAUUGCACACUUCAUUUAACACAUCAAUACACUAUGCAAUCAUAACAUAUAAUUUAACUUUCUAACAAUCCGAAUAUAUCCAAGAAGUUAUUUAAUAAUAGUAAUCCAAAAUAAACUAUGCUAAAAUAAUAAUAAUAGUAAUAUCCAUAUAUGUAUACAAAAUUUUGGAUUGAUCGAAAAUAUUUUAGGUUGAUCUUAAGGACACCAGAGAGCACCAGAAAAUUUGGAUUGAUCGAAAAUAUUUUAGGUUGAUCUAAAUGACACCAGAGAGCACCAGAAAAUUUGGAUUGAUCGAAAAUAUUUUUAGGUUGAUCGAAAUGACACCAGAGAGCACCAGAAAUUUUAGAUUGUUCGAAAAUAUUUUUAGGUUGAUCGAAAUGAUACCAGAGAGCACCAGAAUUACAAAGUCCAUGCUAUAGCUGAAAAUUACUCUAAAUCAACUUCAAGCAACCAAAAAUCAACAACAUUAUAAUUUUAUAACAGCAAUCAUAUCAAACUAGUGUAGGAAUCAAACUGAACAUAAAAAAAAAAAAACAAAUAUAAAUCAAACUUUGUAUAGAGGAAUCAAAAGUCUGCGUUGCAUUGAAUAUUGAAAUGAACAGUGAGGUUCCAAAAUAAUAGGGAUACACUGAUAUGCAAAAUAAAACAACUUUAUACUUAACCAGAAAAAAGCAAUAAAGCAAUACAAACUUGCAAUGUUUAUUACAAUAGUGUAUAAACUUCAGAAAAGCAUACGAAAACUCUAAAGAACUAUCUACAAAUUUUCUUUUCUAUAUAUCAUAGUUGUUAUAGGCAAGGUGAGGUGCUGCAUCAAAUGAAUUUUGAACAAGUCAACCAAGUGCUAAAGUUUCAGAAAAGAAUACGAAAACUCUCAAGAAUUGUCUACAAAUUUUCUUUUCUAUAUAUCACAGCUAUUGUAGGCAAGAUGAUGUGCUGCAUCAAAUGAAUUUUGAACAAGUCAGGCAAGUGUCAAAGCUGCCAAUACAAUGAAGUAUUCUGACCUAGAGAAAAAAGCAAUAGACUAGCAUCCACAUGUGAGUCUUUCCCGAAGUGUGUUCAAAUUGCUCUGAGACAUGGAAACCCAAAUCUGAAAAGUAUCAUACAAUAUGCAUUUUGAAACUCUACUAUACAAAAAUGUGCAAUCCAAGUUUUGCACAAUUAGUGUGAAAAUUCAAAUAAAAUUAUUUUCAGAAUAUGCAAAGAACAAAAUUUAACUACAAGUGUCAAUGGAGGAAUAAUUGAUAUCUUUAUUAUGAAUGGAUUAAUCUAUAACUUGGUUAUUGUGAAUCCAUUGAGUUUUAUUCUAUCAUUGUUUUUCUCUAUUUUGUACUACAUUGUAUUGGCAGCUUUGUAUAAUCAGAAUGAGAGUAGUGCACAGUGGACAUUGAGGUGCCAAAAAAAUCAAACAAAGAUUCAAAAAUUUCUACUUAAAUAAAAAUCAUAAAUAAAUAAAAUUUCUAAAUUAUUCAAAAUUCUAAAUAAAUACAAAUCAUAAAUUAUUUAAGGUCAUACGUAAAUAAAAAUCUCCAAAAAAAUAAAAUUCCAAAUUAUGAAAAAUCUUAAAAAAAUAUAAAUCUAAAUUAUUUAAUAUCCUACUUAAAUAAAAAAAUUACAAUAAAUAAAAUACCUAAAUUAUUCAAAAUUCUAAACCUAUGCAAAUCCUAAAUUAUUCAAUGUGAUACUUAAAUAAAAAUGGUAAUAAAUAAAAUUCCUAAGUUAUUAAAAUUUAUAAAUAAAUUCAAAUCCUAAAUUAUUUUACAUUGUACUUAAAUAAAAAUUUAAAAUAAAUAAAAUUCCUAUAUUAUUAAAGUUUGUAAUACAAGACCUAAAUUACUUAAUGUUCUAAUUAAAUAAAAAUAAAAAAUCAAUUAAAUUUUUAAAUUAUACAAAAUCUGAAACAAAUACAUAUCCUAAAUUAUUUAAUGUCCUACUUAAAUAAUAAUUCACAAUAAAUAGAAUUUCUAAAUUAUUCAAAAUUUUAAACAAAUACAAAUUUUAAAUUACUUCAUGUCCUACUUAAAUAAAGUAUCUAAAAUACUCAAUAAAUACAAAUUUUAAAUUAUUUAAUGUCCUACUUAAAUAAAAAUCUGAAAUAUAUAAAAUUUCUAAAUUAUUUAAAAUUCUAAAUAAACACAAAUACUUACUUAGUUUAUGUUAUACUUAAAUAAAAAUCUCAAAUAAAUAAAUUUUUUAACGUUUUCCAAAAAUCGUAAAUAAAUACAAAAUAAAUGAAAUUUAUAAAUUUUCAAAAUUAAAAAUAAAUAUAAGUCGAAAAAAAUUUAAUGUUAUUCUUAAAUAAAAAUUAAAAAUAAAUAAAAUUUCUAAAUUAUUUAAUGCCAUUCUUAAAUAAAAAAUUUCUAUGUUUUCAAAAUUCUAAAUAAGUACAAAUCUUAAAUUAUUGUAUUUCCUACUUAAAUAAUAAUCUAAAAUAAAUAAAACUUCUAAAAUUUUCAAAAUCCAAAAUAAAUACAAAAUUUAAAUUAUUUAAUAUUAUACUUAAAUAAAAAUCCAAAAUAAAUCAAAUUCCUAACUGAUUCAAAAUUGCUAAAAAAAUAGAAACCCUAAAUAUUUAAUGUCAUAAUUAACAUCCUUAAUUUUACCCAUAUAUAAUUAAAUAAAAGUAAAACAAGUAAUAUCUAAUUACAAAUAAACAUAUACUACUUUCUUAUAUGUGUAUCUCAAAAGAAAUAUCUCUUCAUAGGGAUUUAAUAUAUACAUCAAAAGUUUUAAUAACAAAACAAAGCAUUCAAAUAAAACUAUCUCAUCCUUCAGCGGCUCACUAAGGAGCUUUAUUACCUGCAAUCUCAUCUGCUCCCAUGUAAAACACGAUCAUCACAGAUAAAGAAACAACACAAACAAAUAAUAGGGUAAGCUAUCUAUAUAAAAAGUUUUGAUAUAAUUUAAAUUUCAAAUUUAUAAGCAUAGUUCAUCAAUUCUCAUAUGAUUUCUCAAACCAUCAGGUGUCUAUUACAUUCAUAAAAUUCAUCAUCUUUCAUAUGUUAGACUUCUACUGACUCACAACACAAAGACACUUGCGGAAGACUCGUGCGUUGACUUAGACUCAGAGAUCUGCACUUGUCAUACUAUCUCACUGUGAAAUCCACACAGCUAUGCGCAUAAAGAAUCUCAAUAUCAUAUCUCUUCUAGUAUGACAGGGUUAACUCAUAUAACAGGUCAAGUUAGUUAUCUUUCAAACAACUUACCCAUUCAUAUGAACCUCCUUCGACUCUCACCACCUAAAUAACUUCAUCUAUAUGAUUCCAUUAUCUCAGGAGAGUCAAGAUAUCUCCUUCUAGACGAUCCCUAGUCAAUGCACAUCCUAAACAAUCUUAACACGGUAUUUUCUUUCCUAAAAAUACUAUGUUUUGAUUAAAAUUCAUAUUCUAAACAUCACAAUCUCCAACAUCAAACAAUCAAAUCAUUCCAAAUUUUAGAAUUUCCAAAACACACAACAAUUCAUUUACUACUCAUAUAAAUGUCUUGAAUCAAAAGGGCUGCAAAGUGUAUCUAAAUAACAUCAAGUUUUACUACCCAAAAAGAGAGACAAUAAAAGGAGAAUGAAAGAAAAUUAUCUCUCAACUACAACUAUAUCCAAUAGUUCUCAACUUCUUCAAAUUUGCAUUAGCAAGAACUAAUUCCAACAUGUAUUGUAAUACUUUAAUAUUUAGAAUUAUUGCAAGAUUGUUACACCAAUUACAAAAGGAGAAAAGAAAAGUAUUAUCCAACAUUGUAUAACAUUUAUAGAAUGAAAGAAAAAAGCAUGAACAAUAAAUGUUCUUCUUUUUACUUUACAUAUACCUAGCACCACAUAUCCAACAUUAUUUAAUAAAAAGGAUAAGAAAGCCACAACAUGAAAAUUAAAGUUUGGUCACCAAUUGUUAAACCCAACAACUAAUUUAUCUCAAAAGCACCAGAAUUCAGAUUACAAUCAACAUAGCAAUUCUCUAAAUAAUCAACUCAUAGUUUACUUUAAAAAUUGUCACAAACAAUUUUUAGCUCAUAAACUGAAUCAUGACGAAAUAAUCAAAAUAUAUGCUCUGAAAUUGUCAAGAAAAAUCAUCACAAACAUUUUUCAAAUACAUUAUAUACAUUCUACACUUAUAUACAUUCUACACCGUCUACUAUAUCUAAAUUUUUCAUUUCAAUCUCAAACAAUUUCCAAUCUACACAAAAACAAGAGAUCGUGCAAGAAAAUUUGAAACUGGUGACCACGUCACCCCCACAUCCAGAUCUUCUAGCCUAGGGUUCUAUUUGGCAAUUUAAAACUAGCUUUCCUUACCUGAAUUUUGACUGAUGCUCGCUAGGAGCUCCAAAUCUACCAAAAGCCUAAAGGUAAUUUAACCUGCACCACAGAAUCCUGAUAAAAAUCUAACUAUAUAACUAGGACCUUUUGUUAACAAAAUUAACCCUCCUGAAGCUAAAAGAAUCAUAUGCAAAGCAUAAAUCUAAUAAGAUCAAAAUUAACUCAAAAGAAAAAGGGGCCAAGAAUGAACUUACUCUAUCUGAGAUUUUGAUCGAACAAUCUUAUAGGGUUCACUGCCAGGAGUCCAAUGGCAGACUCCGAUUGCCAAACUGAUAAGCGAGAAGGUUAGAAUCUUAGGGAGAAGGGAAAGAAAAGGAAAAAGAGGAACAAAACUGAACUUACUCUAUAAGAGAUUCUGAUCGGGCAGUCUUGUAGUCUUCGCUGCCAGGAGUCCAAUGGCAGACUCCGAUCGCCAAACUGAUAAGUGAGGAGAUCAGAAUCUUAGAUAGAAGGGAGAGAAAGGAAAAUUGGAACUUGUAGAGAGAUGGUGGUUAUUUUAAAAUGAAACCUGAAUAACCGAAUUUUCUAUUUGUUCCCGCCGGUUGACCUGGGUUGUCUUUAUGCGUGGCUUGUCCUCACGAGCUAGGGCACCUUCGUUCUGGUCCGUCUGUGAGUACCUGAAAAGAAGUGAACAAAAGGGGCGCCCUCGCGACCGUUUGCACUCCGACGAUCAAGUCAACUAGCGAGAAGCAUCAAAGGUGACGCACCUCCGUAUCGGAACACCGUAAACGAAUGCUCUGAAGGUGGUUAGAAAUAACUGAGUGGCUAAAACUGUGUUGCCCUAAUCGUUUUUCUGCACACAAUGGGUGCGCCGUCACAACAACUAGGGUUUGUGCUCUUGUGUAGACUGUGAGAAUUAGGUUAAAACUCAGAUCCUUUUCAAACGUCCCAAGGUCCCUUUUUAUACAUCUCUCGCAUUUAAAACGCGUUAAAGCGCAUUGAAAGCGUAUAAAAAUAUUCCUUGGAACGUUCGAAUCUUAACUGAAUUAACGCGUACCUUAGCGAACUUUUACAAAAGCCUUGAUGUUUUCAAUGCUUAUUGCCACGUGUUCUUCUGACUUAAUCGUGACUCUUCGUGGAGGGCCCUAUAGCGCCGUAACCCAAUUUAGGGUUAAUCCAUCGUGCAAACCCUCCUUUCUUGAAGUGCAUUUGGCGCAAGUGGGUGACUUUCUGGGUGCCAACUCAUGCGCCCCAACUUCUAGUCACUCGCCUUGGGAGUGUAUCUACCUUCCUCUCACACCAAGCACCUGGUUCACCCCUGGGCAUGACCCUCUCGUGGGUCGUAUCUAUCCCGGGGGUCUCCCUGAGGUGACGUGGGUACUUCACGAGUCAGGUUACUCCCUGCUGGUACCAGAACUAUGGCCUUGAAGCCACCUUUCUCUUCUCUUUGUAACUGCUCUGGGCCACACCUUAACCUGGCAAUGCUUCAACCUGGCGAUGCCUUCCUUAGGCGACGCCUCCUCUUGGCGACGCCUUACCCUGGUGACGCCUUCUCUUGGCAACUCCUUCUCCUGGCGACGCCUUCUCCUGGCGACGCCUUCUCCUGGCGACGCCUUCAGUGGUCAAUCUGUUGACUUCCCUUCUUUGGGGCCCUCGAGUGGUCCCACCAUAUGUUGACUUUGACUUUGGUCAACGCCCAAGGACGGGACGGUGCACUAUUUAUAUGUCAUUUUCAUUUUAAUAAUAAAAUAUUCAGGUAUCAUUUAAAAUAUACCACUUCUACUCUAAGGUUAUUUUCUAGAUCCUUACAUCAUACGUAAAUAAAAAUACAAAAUAAAUAAAAUUCUUAAAUUAUGUAAAAUCUUAAAUAAAUACUAAUCUAAAUCUAACAUAUUUAGUGUCUUACAUAAAUAAAAUAUGAAAUAAAUAAAUCUACAAAACAUAAGCGGGAUGGAAAAUUUUUUGUACGUUAAAUGACUUCAAAAAAAAGGUGAUAAAAUUGUUUUUGAAAUAGAGGUUUACAUACCCAGUCCUAAAUAAAUACAAAAUCUAAAUGAUUUAAUGUUUCACUCAAAUAAAAAUUUGAAAUAAGUUCAAUUCCUAAAUUUUUAAAAAUCCUAAAUAAAUACAAUCCUAAAUUAUUUAAUGUCAUACUUAAAUAAAAAAUCGUAAUAAAAAAUUUAUAAAUUGUUUAAAAUUCUAAACAAAUACAAAUACUAAAUUAUUAAAUGUCAUAUUUAAAUAAAAAUUUGUAAUAAAUAAAAUAUCUCAAUUAUUUAAAAUUAUAAAUAAAUACAAAUCUAAAUUAUUGAAUGUCAUACCUUCAUAAAAAAUUAUAUUAAAUAAAAAUCCUAAAUUAUUUAAAAUUGUAAAUAGUUACAAAUUCUAAAUUAUUGGAAUUAUUUCAAAUUUUAAACAAAUACAAAUUAUUUAAAAUUUUAAACAAAUAAAAAUCCUAAAUUAUUUAAUGUACUACUUAACUAAAAUAUCUGAAAUAAAUAAAAUUAUUUAAUUAUUUAAAAUAUUAAUAAAUAAUAAUUCUAAAUUAUUUAAUGUUCUACUUAAAUAAAAAUUUAAAAUAAAUUAAAAUUUUAAAAUAUUCAAAAUCCUAGGUAAAUCUUAACUUAUUUUAUGUCAUACAUAAAUAAAUUUUAAAUUUUUUUUGAAUAAAUAGUAAACCAGAAAUUAUUUUAUUUCUUACUUAAAUAAAAAUAUAAAAUAAAUAACAUUUCUAAGUUUUCAAAAUUCUAAAUAAAAAAAAUUCAAAAAUUUGUAAUAUCAUUCUUAAAUAAAAAUAAAAAAUCAAUAAAAUUUCUAAAUUAAUCAAAAUUUUAAAUGAAACCAUAUCUUAAAUUAUUUAAUAUCAUUCUUAAAUAAAAAUCUAAAAUUAAUAAAAAAAAUUAGUUUUCCAAAAGGCUAAAUAAAUAAAAAUCUAUACAAAAUAGGGAUAUAAUUUUGACAACUACUUCGAUGACCCGAUCUAGAAAAUAAAUAUGAUGGGAACAUAAAUAAUUCACGUGGUGCAUAUUUAAUGUGGUUUAAAUUGUACAGAAUUGGAUUGCUGUGUAUAUAAAAAAUAUAGCGUUCAUAUUCAUGUGUAUUGAAUUAAAUUUAUAAUAUUUUUUUUCUACUUUAUUAUUGAAAGUUAGGUAAAGAAUAGAAAUAUUAUAGAACGAGUUUAUUACGUUUCCCAAAAAGAGAGUAAAAUAUUGUGUAGAAAUUAAAGAUGCCUAAUAAGAGUUGAGGUAUUAUUUAUAAAUAAACAAUGAAAAAAUAAUGAUGCCUUCAUACUUCACCAGAUUCUUAACUGCCUUUUUAAUAGAUUCUACCUUCCUUAUUAUCAUUUCAUUUAAUACAGUUUCUUAAACGGAUACACGGUUUCAUGUCUCUGAAUUAUGCUUCUAAAUUAUAGGGGUUGACCAAGAAUAAGAAGAAGAUGGGGAUAUAAUAAUUACAACUACCAAACAUGAUGGCCCCAUCUAGAAAAUAAAAAUCUAAAAUAAAUAAAAUUUAUAAGUUUUUUAAAAUUCUAAAUUAAUAUAAAUUUUAAAAAUUUAAUGUCAUUCUUAAAAAAAUUUAUUAUUUAAUUGCAUUUUUAAAUAAUAAUAUAAAAAUUAAUUAAAUUUUUAAGUUUUUCAAAAUCUUAAAUUAUUUUAUUUCCUACUUAAAUAAUGAUUAAAAUAAAUAAAAGUGAUUACAUACGAAUUUUUGCGUAUUUAAUUCAGUAUAUAAAUAGACGUUACAUACUGAUUUUUUUUAUAUGUAAGCCAAAAGUGAUUAUAUAUGUUUUUAAUCAGUAUGUAAUUUUGACUUCACAAAGCGAGAAUAAUUACAUACGGAUUGUAUCCGUAUAUAAAGUAUUACAAACAAAAUAUUUUUAAUAAUUGUAAUAAUAAUAAUAUUGAUAUUAAUGGUAAUAUUGAUAUUAAUAUUUUUAUUAAUAUUAAUGAUAAACAACCGGUUGAAUUUUUGUUAAUCAAGUUAAACAAUUUUGUUUGAUUUCUUUCUUGAUUUCUGUAUCUGUGAUUCUGCAUUGAAGUUCAUUAUACUUUCAAAGUUUGCGAAAAUCUUUCAUAAACAAUUCAUCUCCCCCCUCUUAUUUAAUGCCAUAUAUUCUAAUAAAAACUUCCUCAACUUGAGAAGUAAAACCCACGGACCUAGUCCAGAAAAUGCCUCCCCUAUGAAAGUAGGAUUACAAUAUUUGUUUCUCUCACUCUAUGAGGAUAACACUUAAUCUCACCCAAGAAGAAUGGAAUACAAAGUCUCUUUAGCAUCCCACUCACCAUUAUGGUGGUUAUCUAUUCUCUCAUUUACACUUUAUCUCUUCUCCUUGCUUGUCUUUUUUCUUUCUCACAAGUUUCCUUUAUAUAGAGAAUGAGAGUAAGACUUCUUCAUAAAGAGAUAGUAGAUAAUUAAUGCUUAUCACAUUUUCAAGAGAGAGUUACAAAUUCAAGACUUUUGAAAUGACCAUCAUUGAAUAUAUUCAAUGGAUCAAUUACCAAUAUUCAUUGGUCGGGAUCUCCUAGUAAACUAAGAAGGGAUUCCCAACAUAAGGUUCAACAAAACCAUAUAAAUAAGAGCAAAAAUGAAAAAAGUCUAUGAAAUGUUUGAAAACAUCAGAAUACCAAUCACCUACCUAAGCCCCUAUUUGGAUUGGGGGGUGGCACUGUAGCCGCAAACGGAUGUGGGGUGCCACCCCCGUUUGGAUCUAGUCAUGGUUGAGGGUGUGGGUGAGGGUGAGGGGAAAGUUGGGCCAAAUGAGAGAGCAUUCAGAAGUGAAGAGAAAGGAGAGGGUGAGGGAGUGAGUGCCAAGUAGGAUGAGUGAAAUAUCAUUUGUGCCCUCACUAGAUUUUUGGAUGUAUGUGGGCAUUGUACGUGAAACAUGCAUGCACAUUUGUGAAGAGAAGCUUUUCAGCAACAAGCACAUGAGAUUCCUGACCAUUGUUCAGGAAUCUGUUUGACCAAGUUAAAAGCUCAAUGAAUGCAUAGGCAAGUUGGUGAGAGGGUGGAUGAGCGUAAUAAAGAGGUGCAACAAUAUAUAUGUGGUUCCCAAGCUCACAAACCUCACAAAGCAAAGGCAAUUUGGUUCUUCACAAAGCACAUACCUAGAGAGCUUGGAGAGGGUCGUGAGUGCGCUUGGUUCUUUGUUUGUAACCUCAGGUGAGCUUUGUGUGAGUUUAGUUUCAUUCUUAAUCGAUUAUCACUGAAAAUGAACGUAUGCCAUAAUCGAUUAUGUUGAAAAAAAUAGUUGAUAAUCAAUUAUGUUCAUGACAUAAUCGAUUAUCUGUAAAAAUUCCCGUGAGAUAAUCAAUUAUGGUCGUUUUUGCACUGGAAGCAUAAUCGAUUAUGUGCCAUAAACAUUUGGAUAAUCGAUUAUGUGCUAUUUUACACUGGGGUGAUAAUCGAUUAUGGUUCUAAUUUUCCAGAUUUAUGAUUUUAUGUUUUUUGAACUAAUUUUUGAAUGAUUUUUUUUUUCAGGUAAAGUUUGAUAAAUCUUAGACUUGCAUUGUGUUGUGGUUUUGUUCUGCUCUCUUGAGGUAUGUGUGUUUUUUUUUUUAAAUUGUGUUUGGAUGUUUAGUUUUAUUUUGAAUUUAAUUUGUUUAAAAUAUUUUAAAGUAGUUGUUAAUUAGUUUUUAAUUUUAGAUGUGAAUGUUUAGGAAAAUUGAUUAUCUAAAAUUGUAUAUUGUUAAUGUAAAAAUUUCAUGAAAUUUGAAUAUGUUAUUUUUGUGACAUGAAUUGAAUUGAAUUUAUAGAUUGAAAUUAGAGAUUUAAAUUUGUUAUUCUAAAAUAUUGUUUUUAAAAAGAUAAUAAAAUUUUUUGCAGUAAUUUAAAAACAGAAAAAUCAAAUAUACAGAAGAUUUUUUUUUUUAUUUUAACUUUGAAGCUGUUAAUAAAUAAAUUUUUUAUUUAAAUUUACAGAAUAGACUACCUUUUAGAAAUUAUUAUUUUUACAGAAUGUAAAUAUUAUUUUUAAUGUUAUUUUUUAAAACAAAUAUUUUAUUAAUUAAAAAAACAGAAAAAGAUUACAUAAUAAAUUAGAAUUUUUAAUAAUAUGUGUACAUAGUUAAUGCUAUUAUGAAAAAAUUAAAACAAAUAUUGUAGUAAUUAAAAAAAACAGAAAAAAUUACAUAAUAAAUUCGAUUUUUUAAUAAUAUUUGUAGAUAGUUAAUAUUUUUUUAACAUUUAAUGUUUUAUAAAAGAAAUAUUUAUUUAUUUGAAAUGAUUAUUUUUAUAGAAUGGAAAUACAAAUUUUGAAUGUUAUAUUUAUAAUUUUUUUCCAUUUUACAUAGACAUACCAUAAUGUUAUGAAAAUAUAUAUAAUUUAUUUCUCAUAAUUUACAUAAAUUGUUAAUAUUAUUAUUUAAAAAUUAAAUAUAAUAUUGUAGUAAUUUAAAUAAAACAGAAAAAGAUUACGUAAUAAAUUAAAAGUUUUACUAAUAUGUGUACAUAGUUAAUAUUUUUUGAACAUCAAAUUGUUUAUAAAAAAUAGAUUUAUUUAUUUGAUAUUAUUAUUUUUACAGAAUAGAAAUAGAAAUUUAGAAUUUUUUUUAUAUUUUUUAAAAUUAAAUUCUUUAUAAAUAAUACAUUUAUUUAUUUAUAGUUAAUAUUUUGACAUGAUGCAUUAAUUCAUAUUUGACAUGUUAUAAAUAAUAAAUGUUAACAGAAGUUUUUAUAGAAAUUAAUAAUGUUAUAGAAAGUUUUAUUGUUACAUACUGGAAAAUGUAAUUAAAAAAAUUAAUAAUGUUAUACAAUUUUUUAUUUUUUAUUGUUACAAAAUGUAAAUAUAAUUUAAAAUAUUUAAAAUAUUAUGGUACUAAAACCCUAAAUCAAAAAAGUUAAGAGAACAUAUAUUUAUUUCUUGAUUGAUUAAAUUAUAAUUUUGUUAGUCUAUAUUUAUUUUGUUAUAUUAGAUAAAUUAAAUGAUAGAGUCAUUUACAAUAGAAUGUUUAUUAUAAUUAUUUAAAAUUAGAUAUUAGGGUUACUGUAUUGGUGUAGUUUUACACUGAAACGGUAACUGCAUUCGAUAUGUUGUAUUGACACUUAUCCAUAUCCAUAAUCAUGGUUCUGAAUCAAAGUUCUACAUUUUGUGGAUAACAUUAUGAAUUCGGGUAGCCAUUACGACGAGGCAGAAAUGGUACAUUUUGAGGAAACGGUUGCAAUUUAUGAUGACCUUGUUGCGGCGAACAUGAAUUUAAUUUCACAAAUACAAGAACAAAUUAAAAAAAAUACUGAAGGUGCUUCUGUGAUGAUCCUUUGUAUGUUGGUUUUGGAUUGAAUUUGUUACGUACGGUGUGUACUACAAGGAACCGUAUUAGUGAGUUCCAACCACAAAAAGAGCGUCGCAGACAAGAAUUGAUGGAGUACUUGGUUCACACUGAACAAUGUCGUGAUAUUAUUCCCAUGGGACCAGAAGCUUUCCUUCAAUUAUGUCAAUGAAUACGAGGAACUGGACUUGUUAAAGAUGCAUAUCGAUCAACCGUGGAAGAACAAGUUGUGAACUUUCUACACAUUAUUGGGCAUAAUGUGAAGAAUCGAAGUGUGUCAUUCUUUUUUCAUCGGUCUGGAGAAACAGUUUCCCGUCACUUUCAUAAUGUUUUGAGUGCAAUAUUAAGGUUGGAGGGGGAAUUCUUAAUUCAACCAAAUGGAAUGGUUGUAGAAUCGCACAUCCUUAACAACAAUCGAUUUUACCCCUACUUUAAGGUUUGUUUAUGAUAAUAUUAUUUUAAAUCACGUAUCAUGUUUUAUUUAUUUUGUGUUUAAUAAAACUUAUGAAAUUUGGUUUACAUUAGCAUUGUUUGGGGGCAAUAGAUGAAACUCAUGUAUGUGUUAAGGUUUUACGUGCUGAUGCACCUCGUUUUCGAGGGAGAAAAGAUUGGCCAACUCAAAACAUAUUUGUAGUGUGUGACUUUAACAUGAAGUUCACAUAUGUCCUGGCCAGUUGGGAAGGAACAACCUUGGAUUCAAGGAUAUUAAAAGACGCUUUGGUACGAGACGAUCCUUUGGUUAUUUCAGAAGGUUAGUUUUAGGGGAUUGAGUGUGCAGAAGAAUAAAUAGGUUAUAGUAGUAUAUACUAACACAACUUUCCAAUAUUUUGUAGGAAAAUACUAUCUUGGUGAUGCAGGUUUUAUGUUAAAACCAAAUAUAAUAAAAUCUUAUCGCGGGGUUAGAUACCAUUUGAAAAAAUAUUCGCGAAGAGGACCACAAAAUGCUAAAGAGCUAUUUAAUCUUCGACAUUCAUCACUUAGAAAUAUAAUUGAGUGAACAUUUGGGGUAAUGAAAAAACGAUUUCCAUUUAUUAGUAUAUGUUUAUGUUUGUUUUUUAUAUAUUAAUAUUUGGUUUUUAAUUUUUUAUUUCGCGUCUCUUUAUGUGUUUUAAAUUAUUAAUUAUUGUAAAAUUCAUUUUACUUUAUUUUUUAAUAUAUUGAUCUUAUCUAUUAUUAUUAUUAGUUUAUGUAAUUGUUAAUUAAUGUAAUUUUGACUUAUAAAUUAUGAUAGAACUCAUAUUAAUGUCAAAUUUAAUAUUUUACGUUUUAGAAAAUCAAAUUUAAUUUAAUGUAAAUUUUCUAUAAUUUAUUUAAUAUUAUAAUAUUAUUAUUUAAAUAUGAAAGCUUAGAAAAAAUAACCGUUUGUUGCACGGUCAAAGUUCUAGUAGAAAUAGAAAUAGAGGGGCACGUGACGUCUCCUUUUGAUUACAGCUAAUAAGAAUCCAGAAAUCUUUGAAGGGUCCCGGAAUAAUGUAAUCACCUUCCUUAUUAUCAUCUAAAUUAUUGGGGUUGACCAAGAAUAAGAAGAAGAUGGGGAUAUAAUUGUUACAACUACCAAACAUGAUGUCCCCAUCUAGAAAAUAAAAAUCUAAAAUAAAUAAAAUUUAUAAGUUUUUUAAAAUUCUAAAUUAAUAUAAAUCUAAAAAAUUUUAAUGUCAUUUUUAAAAAAAAAUAUAAAUUAUUUAAUUGCAUUUUGAAAUAAUAAUAUAAAAAUUAAUUAAUUUUUUAAGUUUUUAAAAAUCUUAAAUUAUUGUAUUUCCUACUUAAAUAAUGAUUAAAAUAAAUAAAAUUUAUAAAAUUUUCAAAAUUCUAAAUAAAUAUAAAACUUAAAUUAUUUAAUGCUGUAUUUAUAUAAAAAUCCAAAAUAAAUUAAAUUUUUAAAUUAUUCAAAAUUGCUAAAAAAACUAAAAACCGUAAAUAUUUAAUGUCAUACUAAAUAAAAAUACAAAAUAAAUAAAUUUUUUAAAUUAUUUAAAAUAUUAAAUAAAUACAAAUCUAAAAUAUUUAGUGCCUACAUAAAUAAAAUCUAAAAUAAAUAAAUCAACAAAACAUGAGCGAGAUGGAAGAAUUUUCGUAUGUUAAAUAACUUCAAAGAAGACGAUAAGAUUGUUUUUGAAGCAAAUGUUAAUAUAUCAAAUAAUGAAAUUCGAGUUAUUCACCUUUUAGGAUAAAUUCAUUUUUUAUGAAACUGUUUAUUUUUAGUUAGUUUCUUCAAAAUUUGUGUCAGUUUGUUGAUAGUUAAACAAUUUAUUUAUUUGUGUAUAUUAUUUAUGUUUAAGCAUUGUUUAUAUUAAUUUUAGUAUGUUUAGUUUUUUAUUUAUUCGUAUAUGCUCAUGUUUAUUUCUUAUAUAUUAAUAUUUACUUUGUAAUUAAUUAAUUUAUUUUUCUAUUUACAUUUGCAUUCAUAUAUUUAAUUAUAAAAAAUAUAUUUUUAUACAAAAUAGUGAAAGAAAACGUGCCAAAUAAAUCAACAAAAUUUGGAGUGGGAUGGAAAAAUUUAUGUAUGUUCAAUGACUUCAAAGAAGACAAUAAAAUUAUUUUUGAAGCAGAAGUUAUCAUACCAAAUAAUGAAAUUCUAGUUAUUCGCCUUUUAAGAUGAAUAAUUUUUUUUACAUAACUUUUUAUUAUUACUUAUUUUUCUCAAAAACUUUGUGUUGUUGAUACUUGAACAAUUUAUUUAUUUACAUGUAUUAUUUAUGUUUAUGCAUUGUUUAUAUUAAUUUUAGUAUGUUUAGUUUUUUACUUAUUCAGAUAUGCUGAUGUUUAUUUCUUAUAUAUUAAUCGUUGCUUUGUAAUUUUUUUUUAUUUAAUUUUUUCUUUACAUUUACACUUAUAUAUGUAUAUGUAUUUAAUUACGUAAAUUAUAUUCUUAUACAAAAUAGUGAAAGAAAAUGUGUCAAAUAAAUGAACAAAACUUGCGGCGAGAUGAAUUUUUUUUUGUAUGUUAAAUAACUUCAAAGAAGGUGAUAAGAUUAGUUUUGAAACAGAUGUUAACAUACCAAAUAAUGAAAUUCGAGUUAUUCAUCUUUUAGCAUGAUUUUUUUUACAUAACUGUUUAUUAUUACUUAUUUCUCUCAAAAUUUGUGUCAGUUGUUGAUACUUGAACAAUUUAUUUAUUUAAGUUUAUUAUUUAUCUUUAUACAUUGUUUAGAUUAAUUUUAGUAUGUUUAGUUUUUUUGUUUAUUCAUACAUGCUAAUGUUUAUUUUUUAUACAUUAAUAGUUGUUUUGUAAUUUAUUUCUUAUAAGAACAAAAGUGAUUAUAUACGGAUUUAAUUCAAUAUGUAAAUAGACAUUACAUACUAAUUUUUUUCAUAUGUAAGCCAAAAAUGAUUAUAUACAAAUUUAGUCAGUAUGUAAUUUUGGCGCCAUGAAGCAAGAAUAACUACAUACGGAUUGUAUCCGUAUAUAAAGAAUUACAUACAAAAAUAUUUUUAAUAAUUGUAAUAAUAAUAGUGAUAAUAUUGAUAUUAAUAUUAAUAUUAAUGAUAAACAACUGGUUGAUUUUUUGUUAAUCAACUUCAACAAUUUUGUUUGAUUGCUUUAUGGAUGUCUGUAUCUGAGAUUCUGCAUUGAAGUUCAUUAUACCUUCAAAGUUUGUGAAAAUUUUUCAUAAACAAUUCAUCUCCCCUCUGGUUUAAGACCAUAUAUUCUAACAAAAACUUCCUCAACUUGAUAUGUAAAACCCACGGGAUCUAGUCUAGAAAAUGCUUCCCCUAUAAAAGUAGGAUUACAAUAUUUGUUUCUUGGGAGGAUAACACUUAAUCUCACCCAAUCUAUUCUCUCAUUUAAGCUUUAUCUCUUUUUUCUUUCUCACAAGUUUCUUUUCUUUUAUAUAGAGAAUGAGAAUAAGACUUCUUCAUAAAGAGAUAGUGGAUAAUUAAUGCUUAUCACAUUUUCAAGAGAGAGUUACAAAUUCAAGACUUUUGAAAUGACCAUCAUUGAAUAUAUUCAAUAGAUUAGUUACCAAUAUUUAUUGGUCAGGAUCUCCUACUAAAUUAAGAAGCGAUUCUCAACAUAAGAUUCAACAAACCAUAUAAAUAAGAACAAAAAAAAAAAAAAGUCUAUUAAAUGUUUGAAAACAUCAUAAUACCAAUCACCUACUUAAAUGUUUGAAAACCUUUUGUAGGUACAAUCCUCGUAGAAACCCAAGACCAAAUGCAAAAAUAGAAAGUGGAAGGAAACAUUACUAUGAUAAAGAGAAGUUAUUAUAUCAGCCUUCUACAAUAACAAUGAACAUAAAUAUUGUUUGAACAUUAAAAUUUUCUAUUAUUAUUUUAAAAAAUAAGAUGGUAAAAUAUGAGUUUCAUUCGAGUAAAAUUAAAAUAAACUAAAACUAUUAAAAAAAUAUCUUACCAAAUGUAAAUAAAAUGGUUUUAUUUUAGAAUGCUUUAUAAAAUACAUUAAAUCGAUUUACUCAACUACGAAGAUAAGAAAAACAUCUCUUCUUCAAACAAUGGUUUAUUAUGUGCUAUUGGUUUGUUUUAGUAAGUCAUAAACAAUAGAUUAAGUAACUUUUCAAAAUUUUACUAAGGAAAACAUCAUAGGUGAAACAAGAGACUCUUCCUCAUCAAGUUACACUUUCAUUAAAAAAAACUAAUAAACAAGUGUGUACCAAAAAAAAAAGUCUUAUAAUGGUACAACUUUAACUAAUAAAUAAUAAAAAAUUACUUUAAUUGCCACUUUUAUGCAAAGUGUUAUCUCCUUGUAAUGAUUUAUUCAAUCUUGAAUAAAUUUUAGAAUCUUAAUAUGAAGUCAUGGGUUGAUCACUGAGGGGCAAUCCAAUUAAUAUAUUAUAACAGUCCAAUCCAAGAAAUUAAUGACGAUACCCGCAUAAUCGUCAUAAAGAAGAGAGUGCAAAAUUAGUGGAGGUGGAGAGUUACGAAAAUAUAAGAAGGAAUUAAGUUAGUAAAUAGAACAAUUACAAAGAAAGGCAAGAGAGAAGUUUUAUAAGAAAGAAGAGAGGCCAAAGGGGAAAAAAAAUUGGAAACUGUUUUCGAAUACCAUUGAUUCUCUACCUAAGGAUCAUCUCUAUCGGCUAAUUAAUAGAAACCAUCAUAUCGACUAUUUUGACCUGCAAUGCAUGCUCAUUUUGCAUUUUUUAUUUUAUUUAUAAUAAAGUGAUUUGUUUACAAUAGAAAAUAACAUUUUUUUUUAGAUUUUUAAGGUUACACACAUCAUUACCAAAAAGAAAGAACAUUUCCAAAAAAAAAAAAACAAUUGACAGAGAGUACAAUUUAAAGACAUCAUCUUACACCUGGUAUAAGUUUUAAACAAAUAUUCUAGUGAAUGUUUUCAUUAUUAGCUUACUCAUCAAAUCUUCAAACUCCUCUGGUUUUUUCAACCUUUCAACCACACAAUUCAAUAGCUUCUCUAAUUUGAGAAGGAGGAAGUGUCACUGUAGUCCAAUCCAAUAGUGGAAUCCUCUGCUUUGGUUCUAGGGUGAUACAAAAUUUGUAUUUAUCCCUUUCCUAUUUGCCACAGUAUUUAGUGUUUCCAACACGUCCAAAUCAGGAAACCUCAGCUUUGCUUCCAAGAGUCCACCGUAAACUCCACUCAAGUAUGUUCUAUUUUCAGCUGAGGGUAUUAUCUCCAUCCCUUUAGGUGUCCAUUCAAUUCCAGAACCCUUCGCCAAGGCAAUGCUAAUGGUGUCAGCAAUAUCUAGAGAAGGAAAUCUAUUUUGUGCCUCAAAAACUCCAUCUUUCAUUCCUUCAUACCAUAAUUCUCGCGUUAUUGCUUCCUCCUCCUCAC
Molecule: long non-coding RNA, 67751 nt
Filed under: Phaseolus vulgaris (common bean)
Lineage: Eukaryota; Viridiplantae; Streptophyta; Magnoliopsida; Fabales; Fabaceae
Description: long non-coding RNA (PVUL_LNC001824)
Source: RNAcentral